RNAcentral lists this long non-coding RNA (57109 nucleotides) under Capsicum annuum. RNAcentral's name for it is "long non-coding RNA (CANN_LNC013502)". Lineage: Eukaryota; Viridiplantae; Streptophyta; Magnoliopsida; Solanales; Solanaceae. The record is from RNAcentral.
CUUUUAACCUAGAUUCACCAUGACCAAGGACCUCCAAUGAAUUCAUUCGUGCAGCAGGAGCAUAAUCAUAGUCUCUAUCAUCACCACUACCUCUCUCUACAUAUGCUGCUGGAGUAUAGUCGUAAUGUGGACUUGUUUAGACACGUUUGGAAGUAUGUUAUGUUACAAGAAGAAUGUGCACAACCAUAUACUGGGCUGCCACGUCAAAAAUUCACUUUAAAUGUAAUCAUAUUAUUCUUUGUAUAUCCUGGUAGAUAUAGAAUCAUACGAACAUGACUUAAGUUGUUUAGAUUCUGCAAAAAUGAUACUGUAUUCAUGUUAAAUUUUUUAAAAUUGUACUAUUUUUAGAGAAUUAGACACACGUCUAAUGAUACUUUUAACGAAUCCAACCAACAUAGAAGACAUCUUCUUUUGAGAUCCAAUUAUCUUGAAAAUGGUAGACAUUCGAUAUGAUCAUCUUGGAAUAUAGAAAUAUUAGAUAGACAAGUGUAUGGUUCUAAAGUUGUGUUUUCUAUUUUAAGGCCUAAUUUCCCUCUACUCCAACAAUCCAACUUCUCCAUCCUCUCCUAUAUAUAUAGAUGAGUGAUUGUCCUAAAAUUUAUUAAUUAGGGUCAUAUACAUCUUCUGCAACAUAUAUAUUUUUAAAAGUAAAUGCACCUUCAUAAUAUUAUUAUUUUUUUCUCCAUCAACUUAUAUUUCUUUGUAUACAUGUUUUAAUUAAUCAUCAACUUUUUAGUUUUAUGUUUUACAGGAUGAUGAUGGGUUCAAGAUCACUUCAACUUUUUAUCUUGUUUGUUUGUUCUUUGACCAUCACCGCAAUUGAAUGCUCAGAAUGUUCAGAAGUAAAAAAACAAAACCCAAAUCUUUAUAAUAUAACGAGAACAAUAGUUCAUAGCGCCUUGUCAAAAGGAGCAGGUUAAUUAAUUAUUAAUAUCUUUAUUUAUAUGUAAAAAUAAUUUCAUAUUUGAUGAGAUAUAUAUUCCAAGAAUAAAUUUGAUAUUAGAUUUACAUUAUAUAUAUUUAAAUUUAACAUUAUUUAUUUGGCAGUGUGCUUGGAUGGAUCACCUCCAGCAUACUAUUUUGAUCCAGGAUUUGGAGAUGGAGUUGAUAAUUGGAUUGUCCAAAUUUCUGUAAGCAGGCUAUAACAUAUGUUUAAUUCUAUUAAUAGAGUAAAAAUAUAGAUAUGUAUUCUUUUACGUUUUAAAAAGAAUCAUCUAUUUUUCUUUUUAAUUUAUUUUAGAAAAUGAUCCUUUUCUUUUUGACAACACUUUGAUAUCAACUUUUCACGCAGUGUGUUUAAGACCACAAGAUUAAAAGACAUUUUGAACGUUUGACAUAACUUUAAUUUAAGAUCACAAAAUUUAAAAACUUUCUUUAUUUUUCUUAAAUUUUUUGUCAAAUUAAAAUAGGUCAUUCUUUUGGAAACAAGAGGAGUAUAUUGUUGUUUCAAAAAAUAUGUUCUCCCCUUUUCAAAAAGAAUGAUAUACACUUUUUUUUUAGUUCGUUUGAAAAAUAAUGACAUCUUUAAGAUCACAGGAUUAAAAGAUAUUUUAAUACAUACAUUUGACAUAACUUCAGUUUAAACCUACAAGAUUCAAUAGUCUUCAAUCUUUAUUUUUUAAAAUUUCGUAUCAAGUUAAAACAGGUCAUUUCUUUUAAAACGAAGAAAAUAUAUUAUUGUUUCAAAAUAUUUAUUAAACAACUUUGUUCAUAGGGAGGAGCAUGGUGUGUAAACGUCACAGACUGCAUAGGACGUACCAAGACACAACUUGGUUCAUCAAAAUAUAUGGAUAAACUAGAAUUUCAAGGAAUUCACAGCAAAAAUAAGAGUGCAAAUCCAGGUAUUUUUUGGAUUAAUAUAUCCUGAAAUUUUGACGAGUAUUUUAAGAAUUUAAGGAUAAUUAAUCCUAUUUAUGAUCAUUUUUAUGUAAAAUAUGCAGAUUUUUACAAUUGGAACAAAGUCAUUCUUGCAUAUUGUGAUGGUGGAUCGUUCGUAGGAGAUGUUGAAUAUGUUGAUUCAGUAUGUUUUUUAUUCAAAGAUAUAAUUUUCAAUUUCACUUUAAAAUAUUUGCUUUUAAUUGUUGCAAGUAAAUUAUCACUACCUUAUAUUUUUCUUUGUUUAGGCUACCAAUCUUCAUUUUAGAGGGAAAAGGAUCUUUUAUGCAAUAUUAGAGGAGUUGCUAGAAAAGGGAUUAAAGAACGCCAAAAAUGUAUGUGACUAUCUCAUUUAGUUCUGUAUUUAUAUAAAUAUGUAACACCUUAAUUUAAUAUUAUUAUCGCGAUUUUUAUUUUAUAAAAAAAAUUAUUUAUGUACCUCAAUAUUUAUUUUGCUAUUACAGGCCCUCUUAGCUGGUGGUUCUGCCGGAGGAUAUCCAGCAGUAUUAUACUGCGAUAACUUUCGCGAUUCAUUGCCAAGUGCCGCUCGAGUUAAAUGUCUCAAUGAUUGUGGCUACUUUCCUCAUUUGUAAGACUUUAAUUUAAAUCAGACUUUUGAAGCUAUUGUAUUUAAAUAUUAUUUAAUAAAUAAAAAUGAAUCUAUCUAUCUAUCUAUCUAUCUAUCUAUCUAUCUAUAUAUAUAUGUAUAUAUAUAUAUANNNNNNNNNNNNNNNNNNNNNNNNNNNNNNNNNNNNNNNNNNNNNNNNNNNNNNAUUAUAUCUAUAUAUAUAUAUAUAUAUAUAUAUAUAUAUAUAUAUAUAUAUAUAUAUAUAUAUAUAUAUAUUUCAUCCAUUCUAUUAUAUUUUAUCCAUUCUAACUUUGAAUAUAUAUUUAUCUUUCUCAUAACAGCAAGAAUCCUGAACUCGAAAAAAAUUGGCACGUCAGAUUUUCAGGAGUUGCCGAAUUACAAGUAUAUUCUUGUCCCUUUCUUACAAGCUAAGUGCUAAAUAAAUUAUUUUUGUUGGAUUCGAAAUCGAUUAGGCGUCAUGCAUGCGAAAAUUAAUGUAUAGUGUAAUAAGGAAUUCUAGAAAAGAAGAUUGAGACUCUCUCCACGGUCCCACGAAGAUCUCUACAUACUUAUUCAGGACAAGUGAAAUCUUUGAUCUGCGUAUCUAGGAGUAACUCAAACAAAGAAGAGUGCGACAGAUCGAUUAGCUCCGAUGAUUGAGGGAGAAUAUAUGUAAGAGAUGAUUUACAGACAAAAGUAUUCAAUUAUUUGAAAAAAAAUCAAUAUACUUCUCAAUAAUGCAUUCGGUCAAACUUUUUUUUGGUGUCAAGGUAUUAGUAUAUAUUUCCUAAUACAUCUACUCCUAAAUAAUAAUUUAUAUUCUAAAUUAAUAGAGAUUAUUGUUUCCUAAAACCUCUUUAAACAUGUGAGUUGCAGGGAGCUGCCCAAUCAUUACCUAAAUCAUGCACUUCAAAAAUGAAACCAGAAUUGGUAUAAACUUUUAAUUCCUUAUUUAAUUUAUAUAUAUAUAAGUUAAAUACUUUUUUCUUGAAUGUUUUGUAAUCUUCCAAUUUGCUGCAGUGCCUCUAUUCACAGAAUAUUCAACAAGAUAUCAAGACACCUCUUUUUAUUUUCAUGUCAGCAUAUGAUAAUGUUGAGGUCGGUAAUUCAUAUUAUUAUUACUAUAUUUUUCAUCCUUUUUAUUUUCUCUAGUGUAAAAUCUAAUUUUGUGAUACUUCCACCGUUCAAAAUUAUUUGUCCAUCUUUUUUACUUGGCACACCCAUCAAGUAAAUAAUAGUAAUUGUUAUAUUGACUUUGCAUAUUACCCCUAUUAAUUGGUAGUAAUUGAAAUUUCAAAAAGUCUUUGUCAAUAAAUUGAAGGAUAAAACUAGAAAAAAAAUUAUUUUUCUUAGUGUAUAAAAAAUAUUAAGUAAAAGCGGAAAUAAAAAAUAGAAAUAAGUGAAAAAUAACUUUGAAAUUUCAAAAGUUUUUUUCACAAACAAAGUCUAUUUAAUAAGAUUAACUUUUAAGUAACAUUUAGGGAUCAUUUGGUGUGAGUUAUAAGGGAUAAGUAGUUUUGAAAUAAAAUGAAAAAUUAUUUUAUCUCAUGUUUAGUGUGUGAUAUUAGUUAGUAUCGAAAUUAUUUAUCCCAUCAUUUAUAUCAUAAUGAUUAAAUAAAUUAUUCCACAUAUAUGAAAGAAUAAUUAAUCUCAAAAUAACUAAUCUCAAAAUGAAUUAUUACAAAAUAAUUCUUUCCCAACGAAACGACCCUUACUAAAUUAAUGCUCCUCCUAAAUGAACUGUAUUUUUGCAGACAAAAUAUACAUUUGGAGAUUAUAUGGGUGGCCUCAUUGACGGUGGAAAAUGCUCAGCAAGUCAGAAUCAAAGCCUGAUAGGUUAGUAUACACAUGACCUACACAAAAAUUGACUUUAGUAGGUGUUUGGUAUAGAUUUCUUGAUCCGACAUCGUUCAAAAACAAUCACUUUACCUUUUUGAGGUAGUGAUAAAGAUCUAUGUCGUAUCUUUUAUCCUUUCAGAUCUCAUUUUUGAGGUUUUAGUGGGUAUAUAUUAUUAUUAUUGUUUUAUUAGAAGUUUAUAGAAAUGUGUUUGAUUAUACUUUUUACAAAAAAAUAUUUGGAACAAUAUCCGUGCUUGAAUGUAUUUUUAUACAAUUUAAAAAGUGAAAAAAUGAGGUAGAGAAAAUAGUUUAUAGCUAAUUGUUUUCGAUAUUUAUGAUACAACUUCAAGUUGAAUCUAAUAUUUUCAUAACUAAACAUUGAUUUUUAAAUUAAGUUAAAAUUAUUUCGGAAAAAAAUAAUACACCCUCUCAACUAUGUUAUACAGUUCAAGUUACACGAAUUUUUCACUUUCGAUGUCGCCAUUUAUGUUGGAUUCUUUAAUAAUACACGGACUCCUCGCAUUCGUGUUGAAUUCUUUAGAAAUAUAAUAAAUUUGACGAAUUCAACACACGCUGUUGAUAUGAUUAAAGAGUGCAAGCAACAUAAUAUAUAGUAAUAUUUCUAAUAUUUUUGGAUUUGACAUUUCAGAAAUGAGGUCAGAAUUCUUAAAUGCAUUACCCAAAGGAGAUAAUCCAAACUUAAGAGGAGUUUUUGUAGACUCAGUACAUCAUCAUAAUAGCCUUCUGCGGAGGUGGAUUCCUGAAACUGCCAUUAACGUAAAUGGUCAGGUAAGAUAUUAUUUAUUUAUUUAUAUUUGAAAAUAAAAUUUAUAAACUUAAAGUAAAGUGGUCAAAAAUAUUUUUAAUCUUUGCCAAAUACCUUUAAAAAUAAAUAAAAAAAUAUUUAUAAUCCAAAAACACUUAUAAAUAAGUUAAUUCAAGCACCAUUUAAAAAGCACUUGUUAAAAGAGAAAAACUUCUCAAAAUAAGCUGAUUUAUAAGUUCAUCCAAACAAAUUAUCAAUGAGUAAAUUACUAUUUUGACAGCGAGGCUUGCUAACUAUUUUGUUUUCCACUUUUGUUUGUUUGUGCAGCUUCACACAAAGGUAUUUGCUGAUUGGUACUUUGAUCGAAAAUACACCUAUUUGAUUGAUGAAACUAAUGAGUUGCCACUCACAAAUAAUGCUCGACUCAUAUGGCAAGUUGACAAUACAACUGGUCGAGUCAUAUAUACAGCAUAAACUUAUGUCUGUUUAAUUCCAAGAAAGCAUGCAAGUACAUUUAUUUGUUGACAAUGCAACUCGCUAAUGUUCAUGUAAACUGCUUCUCAUAUAUAUAUAUAUAUAUAUAAAGUUCCCUUUGACGAAAGUACUAAAAAGUUCUGGCCUCCGAUAUUGUGACAUAAGUUUUACUUGUCUAAUUGUUUACUUAUAAACUUAUUAGUUUAUGUAUUUUGCAUUUAUUCCAUCUAAUUGUGUAACUACUUAUGUUUUCAGGUUAGAAUUCGAACCGUCAUUCUUAUGUGUAUAGACUCAAACCUAACGAUUUUUAUGUAAAUUUAAGUGGAUCAAUUCUAUAGUGUGGGAACAUCUUUGGCGAUGAAUGGAGGUCAUAAAAAUUUUCUAAUUCAAAGUUGAGUUGAAAACUUUUCUACCGGUUGAGUUUUAGUGGACGUUCCUACUUGGAAGAACUUUCAAUGACUAUUACUCCUAGAAUAUAAUGAUUUAGGUGGCCUACUAUAUACCAAAUGAAAUAUCUUCGAGUCUUCUUUCCAACGCAUCUGAUUUCACCUUAAUCCGAUAUCAUAGUGGAAAGUUAUGCUUACUUUACCUAAGAAUGUCUGUCUGCCAAAGAUUGACAACGGGAGUUGACGAGCCGUCAACUAGUUGAUGGGCUGUCAACUGAAGCUUUCAACCUUAGGCAGUAAAGCUCAAAAUCUUUCAGAAGUUGACGGCGGGAAUUGCCGGGCUGUCAACUAGUUGACGGGCUGUCAACUAGUUGACGGACUGUCAACUAGUAGACGAGCUAUCAACUAAAGUUGUCAACCUUAACCAGUAAAGAUCAAAGAUGGAUAGAGAUUGGCGACAAGAGUUGACAAGCCAUCAACUAGUUUACGGGUUAUCAACUGAAAUUGUCAACUACGAAAUUCCUAUAAAUUUUUUUAGUUUCUUUAGGGGUAUUUUUUUCUUUUCCUCACCUCAAACCCUACCCCACGACUUAAAUCACUCUAUAAGCAUUAUUUACUCAUCAGUUAUCAAUUUUUAAAUGUUCAAUCUCCUCUCCACUCUUAAGAGAAAAGAAGAUAGGGUUUCUUUUCAAAAUUCAUAUUUCCAAGGCUCAGAUUCAAGGUGUCUCAAAUUUUGUUUAUCAAAAAGGAAUGUAAAACGAUCAUCAUACUCAUGAGCUUAACUAUGGUGUUUUCAUAUACUAGAAAAUUAUAUUUAUAUACAUAUGCUAUGGAUUUUAAAAUUGUUGAAAAUUAUGAAUUACGAACCUCUUUUUAUGAUGAAAUUUAUGCAUUUAACUAGUGUUGUGAAAUAUUUAUUGAAUGAUGAAAUGGCUGAGUUUUAAAUGCUUCUUUAGCAAAUUAUAUAUUUUUUAUUUAUGUGGAUUCAAAGGGUGUUUCUUGUAUUGUUAAAUGCUCUUGUUUUCUCAAGGAGAGUGUAUGAAUUAUGAAAAGAUGACCACUUUUACGAGUUAUAAAAAUGUCUUUAAAGAAUGUGGUUUUACCUAAACUUGCUCAUGGAUUUUGUAAGAGAAUUCUUAUGUGAUAUCUGAAUUAAUAUGAUGGUCAAUGAUAUAUGUUUCGAAAGAAGGGCAAUGAGGAUGAUAUGACAUGAUACAACUUCCAAGUCUAGAUAUGACGAUACCUUUUACGGGAUGCCCUUAAAAGAAUAUGAGAUGAACUUUUAUAAGAAUGAAACAUGAUUUUAAGAGGCUCAAAAUGAGCUUUAAGAGGUUAGAUGGUUAACCGAGAAACCAUGAGUUGAUAAUCUUACAACCCAAAAUAGUGUUCUGCUGAUGCUGGAAUUGAUUCAGUCCUGAAAUAUGGAUGGACCACGUAUACUUGCCCCGGGCAUUGGUAUACCAAGAUAGAAUGUAGAGAAUCCAAUCCUUGUGGCAAACUUAGAUUUGGGGGGCUUGGUCUAUGAGUUAAAGUCGAACCAUAUACCUCGUUGAUAGUAAAAAGGUCGAGAAUGUCAUCUAGCUCUGAAUUAAAUAAAAGAGUUGAGUCUAUCUUUUUACGAGAUUGAUUGAAGCUUUUAAAUUAUUCCCAUAUAUUUUGAUUUCUAUUUUUGUUAAAUUAUUUUCAUAAUUCUCUUAUUUAUUUUGUAUAAAAUAUAUGUUGUUUUGGGGUUGUUCUACAUGCCAAUACAUUCCGAGUAUUGACCAUCCUUGGACGGCUACAUCGUUUCAUGAUAAAGGUUUUGAGGCUUAAUCUCAUGGUCCAUCACAGUAGUAGAACCAUCUGAAGCAUCAGAGUUGGCGUGCCUCCAUCUUUUGAAAGGCGUUUUUUUCAUGUGUUCAUGUCUUUUAGUUUAUGAUCCUACCGGUGGCCUUGUCCCGAUCUAGACAGUUAUUCUUCAGUAGAGGCUUCGUAGACUAGAUUUGGUUAACCUUUUUGUUAUGACUUUAUUGAUGGAGUUUUCUUAUAAGAUAUCUUGAACUUCAUUAUAUCUUCCGUAUUUCGCAUGAAUUAUGCUUAUGAUAGUAUGCUAUGGCAUCUCUCGGGCCUUUGUGGUUCGAAAUUCUCAUCGCGGCCAGGGCCAUGACUCAAAUCCUGAAUACUUGGUAUCAGAGCACGAUUCAGAAUCUCAGGGUAUCUACGAAGCCGUGUCGAGUUGAUACAAGACAAGAUACAAAAAGCUGCAACAUACACAAACGAGGGGGAAAUAAGGGGAAACACAAGGCAACAAGUAAGAUAAAGAGAUAGAAAGACAGACACAAAAUGGUAUUCGAAAGAAAAAAUAAAAAGUAUACCAAACCCUAAACCCCCUCUUAACGAUUACUACGAGCACCUAAUUCUUACGUAUACCUCAACGAAAUCGGAUUUUCGAGCAAUCAAUAUUUCAAACCGAAGUAUCAACACAAGCUAGUUCAAGAUUGUAAUUCACUCAUAAAGAGCAUUCAUUCAUAAAUUAUCAAAAGUUGUAAAUGAAAUGACUAAGGCGUCUAUUUAUAGUGUUUUCCUUUGCAUAAAAUAGCUUAUUACAAAAUAGCCCAAAGUGGAUAUUUGGGAAAUAACCCACAAGGUCUCUUCAAAGCAUCCUCCAAGCUCCAAGCAAUUAUCCACACAUAGAAUUACGGGUUUAGGAGAUUAAAAGAGGUCCACCAAGUCCAUUCUCGAGCUUUUUUCUUGACCAUGGCUUGUACCUCUUUGUAUUGGCCUCGAAUGAUUUAAUCUAAAGCUUUAAGGCCACUUUGGCUUGUAUCAUCCCCCCUUUCUUGAAAAGGAUUCAUCCUUGAAUCCAAACCUUGCAAAAACAAAGAAAGGAUAAACAAACAUGAUAUCCUCAGGCAUGAGGGUUAGAGUUAGCACAAUCAAUCAUAGUAUCAUGCCAAGCUUGCACACACUUGAGAUAUAACCAAACAUCAAAAUGACUAAUCAAGGGUUUAUAACCCCAAAAGGUAAGAACUACUUGGUCAUUCAAAAGCUUUAAACAAAAAGGUCUGUUAGAGGAACCAUUGUGGUAAAUCAACCGCUCAUGAAGGUUCACAAGGGUUCCAAAAUUCAAUAAGUACCAAAACUUUCUAUGUCUCUCAUUUGUGUUGGAGAUCCUUUCCUUACACAACUUUGGUCCCUCAAGUAGAUUAGAAAUCUCCAAGAAAGACUUUCCAUCUUAGGGAUAAGUUCCAACACCCUCACCCAUGGUUGUAUCAUCUUCUUGCCCAAGCAUCAAACGGUAUGGAGAAGAAGAUACCAUAUUUCAAAUUAUCACCAGGAUCAAAUGGGUAGAGUGUCCAUGGAUAUGGAUUUAGGAGACACUUCUUUUCCCCAGAUUACCACCAAUACAGUUAUGUAUACCCUCUAUACUAGCAUAAUCAUUAAUAAAGGCGAUUAGGGGGUUACUCCGAUUCAAUCAACCAAUAUUUUCAACAUCAUCAUUCACCUUAGGUCCUUUAAAAACUUCACAAGCAUUCCUAAGCGAUGGGAUAGGUUCACACACAAGUUGGUCCUCAUGGAUUCCAUAAGACAAUAUACUAUUACUCAUCACAAUGGCUUCAAUACUAGGUUGAUACAAAUUGAUCUUGCUAGAAGAGUCAAUUUUUUAAUCAUUAUGAUCAACUAGUGUAUCCAUACUCUAAAUUUGUACAUUAUUAUAAUGGAGUAAAGAGCCAUUAGGCUUGCCUAAAGAUAGGCUAUCAUUCACACUUAGUUGGCUACUACCCUCAUUCACUAGAGUACAAGAGUUAGCUUUGUUACCUUGAAGUUUAAUUAGAGCAUGUCCACUCAAGGGAGAUUGAAGAUUUGGUGGAUUGGGAAGGGUGGAUUUAAGAAAUCUUAGACGAUCUAUCAUAUUGUCCAUAUUCCCUGAAAGGGAUCUUUCCCUGCUCUCUAUUCUUCCUUCAAGAGAUUUCAUUCGGUUAUCCAUGGCAUCAAACCUUCCCAUGAUUGAUCCAACCCAACUAAGAAUCUUACCUCCAUCCACCAUUGUACCUAUCAAAAGAAAAACUAAACAAAAGAAUAAAAACAAUAAACAAGUUAAUUUUAGGAAAACAACCUUACAAGCUCUCAAGGUUCACCUUUGAUUGUCACUCAAUUGGCGUUGCAAGUGUUGAUAACUCCUUUGUACUCUAUUGAGAUUACUUGGUAUUGAUUAUGGCUUGAGUUUGGAAUGGAUUCUUAUUUGAAGGACUCAAAUAAAUAAAAAUUAUGUACGGACUUGAAUAAAAAACUAACAAUUAAAUGAAAAGAGAAAAGCUAGAAAGAAAUAGGACAAUGAAAGAAACGGAAUCUAAAACUAAUUCAUAACUAAGUAGGAUGAUUAUUACAUGUUAAUUAGUGUUUGGAAUCAAAUAAAAGAAGUUAAAGAAUCAAUAAAAGAAACUAAGAAUCUAAAAUUGAGCUUAAGAUAAUUUGAUGAUUUGAAUUGAUGUUGCUGCCUCCAAGUGAUGACUAGGUUGUGGGUCCUCACUUGACUAACACCUAAGGUUGACAAAAAGGGGAAGUCGUCAGUGUUAGGUAGUGAGUUUGAUGACUUGGCCUCCUUUAGUUGACAACUUAUCACUAAAGUAACGACUUAAAGUGAUCAAUAGGGACUAGUCAUCAGUCUUAGUAUAACGCCUCAAUUUUCUGAACCGGAAUGCUACACGAUGCUCAUGACUCCGAAGGACCACAAGCUAACCCAUGACUGAUAUCUGUACCUGUAGAAUGUGUAAUAUCUUAUAAAAUGAGGAAAUAUGCACUGAAAGGCCAUAAGGUUCAAUACUGAACAUAAUUUAAAAAUAAUAAUAUCUGAAAUAGAGUGGUAUCAUAAUACCAAAACAAAAUUGAAAUACUGAAGUCUGAAAAACAUGGAAAUAUUGUAGCCGUCUAAAAUUCUCGAAUUGGCUGAAUAAGGAGUUGAUGGGACAUUUCCCCAACUAACUCCAUCAACUGAAAAAUUAAACUGAAUAGAUAAAUAAGAUCACAUCCUCAGAGAAUGAGGACUCACUGCUAAAGACCUCUGAAUACUGAAGUACUACUGCUGCUGCUGAUCUGGGAGUCGUGUCUCUGAACCUAUAGUGUAGCAUUAAAAGAAAGCAUUGUAGCGCAAAUACAUUAGUACGUGGGAAUGUACUGAGUACACAAGUGAGGUAGGCUGAAUACAUGGGGUUGACAUGCAUGAAGGAUAAUAAAUGACUGACCAUUAUGAACGUGAGAAUACAUGCAUGAAUACAUAGUAACUGAAAUCGUGAGAACAUGAUAACUAAAUCUAUGUACUGAUGACAUGAGUUUACUAAUAACUGAUAACAUGAGUGACUGUAACUGACAGUCCUGAAUCUGAAGGAGCUAUCUGAGUUCCGUACUGUAUCUAAGUUGACUGUAUCUGACAAUCUUGAAUUCUGAAGAACUAUCUGAGUUUUUUUACUGAGACUGUUACUGAAACUGUGGGAAGUAGUUAUUUAUCCGACAUACCCCAAAUGUGCUAUAAUAGCUAAGCUGGGGUCCAAUCUGUGCCCUGAUUGGAAGGGUGUUGAUACCGCACCCUUGAUAAGGACAAACUGUGGGUAACCCUCAUCUGACAGUGUCUCCAAAAGAAAAUGGUGGUGCCCUUAUCUGAUAGUGUUUAUCCACCUCAUGAACCCUCAUAUGACAAUGUUGAUGUCUCAACCUAUGCUGGCUACAUAGUUCUGGAAUACAAGAAUGACUGCUAAGAAUCACACCCUCAUCUGGCAGUGUGUGUUCCUAUCCUUAGGUUCACUCGGUGCUAAUUUCUACUCCCAUCUGAAGAGACUGAACAUGAUUAACUGAAUGUACAUGGACUGAGUUUACUGAAUUCCAUUGACUGAUGGAAUACUAUCAAUAUCUGAUUACUGACUGAGAUCAUGAGAUUUCUGAGAUUUCCUGAGUCACAUGACUGACUGAAUUCUAUGGAACAUGGCUUGACUGAAGAUAUCGUGAAAACAUGACAUGGGCUCUAGGCACACAACUAUAUUUUUUGGGUACAAGUAUCCCCUAGAUUCGAUGGAAAGAAAUUGACACAACCAUGACACUUCUUGAUCAUAGGAGUACAGUUCAUAAUUCACAAUGCUAUAAAUAAGGGAUUUCACGCUUCGCAUAGUUAUCAUAUUCUUGAUCAUGGAAAGGAAUGCGUGUAACAUGUACAUACUUGCAUGAUUGCAAUAUCAUGAACAUUGCGUAACACAACAAUCAAUACACAACAAUAACAUGGAAUUUGUCUUGAAUCAUGAGGGGUAGCAUGGACUUGUCAUUUGGGCACUACUAAGUCAUGAAAACAUGAUUCCUAUCAUUUUAGGCAUUCUAUCGAACACCUUGCAUGCACAACUUUAAGCAUAGGUGUCUUUUAUCAAUUUAACAAUCUAAAACUACCCAAAUCCAUAGGUUUUCAAUCAACAAACUCACAUACUUCAUGAAAAGUCAUCAAGACACCAUCUUGAAACAUAAAUGACAACUAUCAACAUGAACGUGAUCGAAUCACAACAAGAAAAUCACAAUAUGUUAUUUAAAAUAUGAUUCUUGGACUCCACGAAUGAAAGAAAUUUGUGGAUGAACUCUACGCAUACCUUAGUUUGUGAUUUCAUGAAGAUUGAUGGUGAAAUUUCCUUGAAAUUGAAUCUUCUAUGAAAACCCUAGGGCUUGUUCUUGAGAGUUUUUUAGAGUACUUGAAUAUAAGUUGCUGAAUUAUGGCCAAAUCUCGUAUUAUAAGGAUUAUAUAGGGUGGGAAAAUUGACCCGUUUAACUCUAGGACAGGUCUUUAAAUUUGAGAAAAUUUCUCGAUUUUCAUCCUUGGCGCGAUGCACCACCAUCGCGCCAAGUCACUGGAAAGUGACAAAUGGGAAAUUGCACGGUGGCGCAAUACAGAGCUAUUGCGUUACCACCUUAUCUGUGACCUAAAAGUUUAGUGUGAUGCGCCACUAUCGUAGAGCAAUAUUGGAAAUUGACAAUUGCCAUUUGAGCUAUCUCUGCGAUGCACUGAAGGCUCAGGUCAUACAUUGUCUUACUAAAAAGGCUCUAACUCUUCGCCCGGGUGUUAGAUUUGGGCAAAUUAUAUAUCGAUGGAAAGCGUAUUCAAUUUUCCACGUGAUAAGAAGUGAAAAUUAUAGAAAUACCAUAUGUAUAAGAAUGAAUUCUUAUUUCAAAUUAAGUUCUAACAUCCUUGAGAUGAUUUUCAAGCUAAGAAAAAAUAUGGGUAUUACACUUAGGUAGUGGGGUUGAAGACUUGUUAUGAUUGAUUGUCACUUGGUUGAUAAUAAGGAUGGUUAAACGUCAAUUAGUUGAAGACUGGUGACUUGGGCUAGUCGUCACCCUAAACCAGUGAGGUUGACGACUUGUUAUGAUGGCUUGCAUUGGAGUUGAUGAUUAAAGGUGACGACAAGGGCUAGUCGUCACCCUUAAAUAUUGUGCGUCCAAGUCUCUAAUCGUACAAUAUCAAGGUGUGGAGGGUCUUCAAAUAUUUUUCUCAACUUUUGGAUGAUCUUGAUAGAUUCUUAGAGAUUAUUCAAGGCCUUGAUCACUUCAGUAAUGAAUCAAUCCACCCUUGAAAGCCUUGAAUCCUUUGUGGUCCCCUCCUUUGUACUUACUGUUAUUUUCUUUCUUAGGAAUAUUCCCUUUUGAUGCCAAUUGAUCCUUUCCUAUUUUUGGAAGACUUGAAAUAUUCUUUGAAACAAACAAGUACAACACUUUCUCCCACCUUUCUUUUGGAUAAAACACUCAUUUUUUGAAUGUUCUUUUUCAACAACAUAUGAAGAUCAUGACGAACACCAAGAACAUUUAAAAUUGACCCUUACGAAAAUGACAUCAAAAUUCGAUGAAAUUCAAACCCCAAUCUCACGUCAAUAAUCCAAGCAUAAUACCAACAUUUUCAAGCCCAAAAUCUCAACAACAAAUCACCAAUUUGAGAACCCACCUCAAAUUUUCCCACCUCAAAUUUUCUUCAAACUCAAGCUCCAACAAUGGUAGGUCACUCAAAUAAACAACUACAAUUUAGCUCAAAUUUUAGAUCUCAAAUUAAAUAGUGUUAGGGAACAAGGAUCUAACAAUAGAAACAUAAAAUGACAAAAAAAAUCAAAAACUAAAAAUUUUUGCCUGGGGGUAAAAUGGAAAUAAAAUAUUUUCAUUGUGAUUUUUGAUUUUCAACAAAAAUAGACCCAAGAUUGACUUCAUGGAAAUAAAAUCAAGCUUUGAUCUAAUACAAAAUAAUAAAAGACAAGAUACGAAAAGCGAAAACAUACAAAAAUGAGGGGGAAAAUAAGGGGAGAUCCAAGAUAACAAAUAAGGUAAAAAGAUAGAAAGAUAGACACAAAAUGAUAUCGAAAGGGCAAAUAAAGAGUAUAUCAAACCCUAAACCCUUCCUUAACUAUUACAACUAUAACCUAACUCUUACGUAGACCUCAACGGAAUCGAAUUCCUGAGCAACCUACGUUUUGAAUCGAAGUAUCAACACAAGUUAGUCCAAGAUUGUAAUUUACUCUUAAAGAGCAUUCAUUCAUAAAUUAUCAAAAGUUGUAAAUGAAAUGACUAAGGCAUUUAUUUAUAGUGAUUGUCUUUGUAUAAAAUAGCCUAUUGCAAAAAUUGCCCAAAAGUGGCUAUUUGAGAAAUAACCCACAAGGGCUUUUCAAAGCAUCCUCCAAGUUCCAAGCAAUUGUCCACAUAUGAAUUGUGAUUUUAGGAGCUUAAAAAGGGUCCAUCAAGUGCAUCCUCGAGCUCUUUUCUUGACCAUAUCUUGGACCUCUUUGUAUUGACCUUGAAUGAUGUAAUCAAAAGCUUUAAGGUUUCUUUGGCUUGUAUCACGAAUAAAGUCCCUUGUAUGGGUGUGUAGCGUGCCACACUUAUAGGAGGGAGGCUAUGAGGCAUUUUGAAUUUUUUUUUUGUUCUUUCAUACUCUAGACCAUGCAAUAGUGUUGUCCAUGUGAAAGUUAUCCAAAUUUCUUCCUUGCUCUAAUUGUGUGGGCUAUGCCUCAUUGUCGAGGCGAUAAAAGUGCAAAAUCUUAGAUUCCGAACGAUGUGAUCCCCUCCACUAAGUCAUCGAAAAGUUAAGAAACCAUACAAGUGCUUGAAAGAAGUUCAUUAGUGCAUCAAAGUUUAUAAAUUCGAGGUAUACCUCUAUCUUCAUGAAUUGUGUAUUUCAUCUUGAGUUAAGAAGCGUAUUAAAUCCCUUUCAGAAACUUUAUUGAAGACAUCUCUCUUAAGGAGAAAGAUGUGUAUCUAAAUGUUGGGAUAGUAUUUCCAUCCAAAAGGUUGUAUAAAUUGGGGUAUUAUGACUUAUGAAUAGUAAGAUGAUCUCAAGGUUAGUGAUAUGAAGUCAUAAGUUUAGAAGCCAGAGUGAGGGUAACUUUUGAGUGAAAAAGGUAGUAAUAUUAUUGUAACAAUUAAGUAAGUGUUGGAGGUGGUAUGUUCUUUUGGUGAUUGGCUAUGGAUGUAGAAAGACUUGUAGAUUUUAUGGUAGUUAGUAGAGAAAGUGAUUAGUUAUGAUGAUUUAGAAUUUAUUUGAAAUAGGAAAGGAUCUCAUGAUGGAUAGUUAUUAUAGUAGUAAAAACUAAUCAUAGGUUGUAAAUGAAAGAAUAGACUAACUAAUAAUUUAUAAAUUUAUACUUUAAUUUGGGAAAUCUUAGGGAAAUAGGGACUUAGUGAUGCAUUGAAUUUUGAAGGUAGUUUAAAGGUAUGCCUGGAAAAUUUAGCUAAGUGUUGGAGACUUAGUUUCAUUUUUGACCCCUGAACUUCGAUGAUCUUAUUCUCAACCUUCUCGACCCCGAAAAAUUGGUUUCUAAUUGAAUUCAUGACCAGGGUUGUCGAUAGUUCAUCUCGGGUGAGUUUCAAUUUUUUCAAACGACGUUUUAGGCAUGUUUAGAUGGACAAACUAGUGGACCAACAUGAUAUGGCCACAUUAUGUCGGCUACCGCAUUAGCAGAAGCAACACGGAGCGUCGCUUAUUGCGUCGGGUUGAGCGACACAGUGGGUUGCCAAAUACGUCGGGUCCCAGUUUGGUUUAUAUAAAUUACAGGUCCAGAGAGGUAUUUGGGUCUUUUUCCCCACUUUAAUUUAGCCAAAACGUGGGAUUUAGGUCCCAAAGAAACAAUUUUGCCUCAUAUUUCAUAAUUUCCUCAAAUUGAAAUCAUUCUCUCUCAAGAACAUAACCUUAGCCCCUUCAACCUUUAAGAUCAAUUAGGUGUUCAUCCUUGGGCCCUUUUCACCCUUGAAGCCCAAACACUACUUUUUAAACUUAAGUUAUAAGUUUCACAUGAUUAAAUUGAUUUAUAUCCACAAAUAUAUUGUUAUGUUGAUUUCAAGUUAAGAAUAUAUGUGUGUUCAAGUAGAAUGAACUAAUAUGUAUUUUGAAUGAUGUAAAUCUUAUGUCAAAUCCCUAAGUUGUGAAUUGAAUAGUAUAGUCAUGAUAUUUUCUCAUGUUACUCAUUCCCAUGUAAAAUUUCAUGCCUCGCAUGUGUUUAAUAAAAUAUCUAGAUGAAUGAGUUCUGAACAAUGACUACUUAUUAUGUUUCUAAAGUUGUAGUAUGGUCCCAUUGCCAAUACUAUCGAGGCCUGGGGGUUAUGAAUACCCAAAAUUUAGCUGUUUACUUAGUUUUUAGAAUUUACAGUAUGAAUUCAGUUAUACCGUGAACAGUAUCUUUCAUUCAAGUUAGCAUGGUCAAUUUUGUAUUCAGUUAAGCCUAGUUCAGUCUAAUGAUCAGUGUCAGUUCAGUUGGGAGUAGAAUUUAGCACCGAGCGAACCAAGGGAUAGGGGCAUUCCUAUCAGGUUAGGGUUUGACCUUUAGUAGCAAUUCCUGAAUUACAAAACUAUGUCGCCAGCAUUGGUUGAGAUGCCUUUCUAUCAGUUAGGGUUAACACAUCUCCUGAGUACUCCUGCUAGAUUAGGGUGACUCAUGUGUCCUUUAGGAGAUUAGUUUAGUGGAUCCACAUAACAAUUGUUAUUACCCGUGGCAUGAUAUUGACACCCUUCCAACUGGGGUUACAAGUUGAACCCUAAUUAGCUCAUAUUGGGGCAUGCCGGUUAGAUGAUACCUCCCACAGUCUCAAUUUAGUAUUCAGGAGAGUUAGUUCAAGUUUGCGUAACUAUAGCAUAUAGUACCAGUUACUUAGUUAUCAAUAUUCUAAUACUUCUAUUAUCUCAGCAUCAUAUUUUAUGCUUGGUCAUGCAUUUUCAGUCUUCCCAGUUUUCAUAUAUUUAUAUUCAGUCAUCUUAUGUCAUUUCGUUAUUACCUUAUGCUUAUGAACCCAUGCAUUUCAGCCUUACCUCAUCUAGCAUACCAGUACAUUUAAAGUACUGAUCAUAUACUUAUUUCUUGCACUAUGAUGUCUUACAUCAUAGGUUUGGACGCUCAGGUUACCAACUGUAUUUAGACUUUUAAGUGCAUCAGCAGUAGCAGCAGGGGUGAGUCUUCAUCCUUCGAGGAUAAGUUAUCUUAUAUUUAGUUAUAUCAGUAGUUCAGUUAUUUAGUCAGCCAGAUUUAGUUGGGGGCUUGUCCCAUCAACUCCACAGUCAAUCAGUUUAGAGGCUUGCAGACUAGUACAGACAGUUGGUCAGUUUUUGAUUGUUUUUAUCAGUAUUUCUAGAAUGUUUUUAGACAUUUAAGACUAUGAUUUAGUUUUUAAAACUAUAGCAUUUCUAGUUAAAUUCUGCACAUAUCUCUGUUAUUAUUUUUUAGUAAUCACAGCAGGUAUCAAUUCUUGGGUUAGCAUGUCAUCUUUUGGGGCUAUACACACCAUGUGGCAUCCAGGGUGCAUUCCCAGGGUGUUACAAACUUGGUAUCAGAGCCUAAGAUUUUAAGUUUCCUAGGAAGUAUGAAAGUCGUGUUGAGUAGAGUCUUGUGCAUGGGUGUGUAACGCUCCACACUUAUGGACAAAAGGCUACAAGAAGUUAUAGGAAAAGUUUCCCUUCUUUUAGUAUUCCUGUCGUGUGAAUAAGCAUGUGCUCAAAUUGAAAUCUCUAUCUAAUUCAACUCUUCCUUCCAUUUACACAAUAUGCCUUGCAAAAGGACUAACAGAAGAAGAAAUAGAAACCAGCCAGCACCUUCGCCCAUUCAGAAAGAUCCCCUGAAUGAGCAUGUUUCUCAUACAGAGUUCAAAGCUACAUUCAUCACUCUAUCCCACUCUGUAAAAACUUAAAAUUUUCAUCCAGCUAAUGUUCAGGCCAACCCAAUGGCCAAUACUACCGAAGCUAGGAUUUGGGACUUUACCCGAAUGAAUCCUCUUUCAUUUUUAGGAUCCAAGUAUGAAGAGAAUCCAUAGAAUUUCCUCGACAUGGUGCAGAAGGUAACAGACAUUAUAGAGGUAACUUUUAGCGAGUGAGCUAAAUUGGCUGCUUACCAGCUGGAGGAUGUAGCUCAUACUUGGUUUAAAUAGUGGAAAGGGGAUAAAGGUACAGAUGCAGGGCCUAUAGAACGGGAGGAGUUUGCUUUAACCUUCUUAGAUAGAUUUUUCCCUUUGGAGUUAAGGGAAGACAAGGUGCAAGAGUUCAUAAAUUUGAAACAAGGCAACAUGAGUGUGAAGGAGUGUUCCCUAAAAUUUUCUCAGCUAUCUAGGUAUGCUCCUAAUGUGGUGUCUAAUAACAGGUCUAGAAUGAGUAAGUUUGUUUCUGGUAUGACGGAUAAUAUGGUCAAGGAGUUUAGGACUGUGAUGGUGAUUAAGAAAAUAGACUUUUCUAGGUUAAUGGUUCAUGCUCAGCAGAUUAAAGAGUAGAAGGCUAAGGAGAAAGAAAAAGAUAAUAAGAGGCUAGGACAAGUAAUUUUAACUUUGCUCAGCCGAGGUCGAAGGGUAGCAACCAUCCUUAAUUUCAAAAAAAAUCUUCAGCUCCAGCCCUGUCCUCAACUAGUACGCCUGCACCAAAGUUCAGAAAUGAUAACCACGGUAGGGCGCCAAGCUCUAAGACUUAACAUAGUGUAAAUAGUGAUCGUACAAAUCCCUUUUGUUAGAAAUAUGGUAGAAAAAGUUAGGGAAUGUGCAAAUCCGAUAGUGAUGUAUGUUUUUAGGUAUGGAAAUCCAGGCCGUAGAGUCAGAGAAUGUCCUUUGGCCAGCCCAUAAAGUCAAUUUAGUCAUCUUCUAGUUCCACCCAGUCGCUCGACUCAGUAGGGGGCUACUUCCAGUGCCACCAGUGGGCAGCGCCCAAAUAGGCUAUAUGCACUUCUGUCCCGAUAAGAUCAUGAGAGUUCUCCUGAUGUAGUCACGGGUACGUUAUAAGUCUUUUAUUUGCAUGUUUAUGCUUUACUAGAUCUUGGAACUUCUCUUUCUUUUAUAACCCCUUAUAUAACUUUCAACUUCGGAGUCAGUCUCAAAACCUUAAUCAAUCCUUUCUCAGUAUCAACCUCAGUGGGUAAGUCCAUCACAGCCCGACGGGUAUACCGAAACUGCCUGGUUACGGUAUCUCAGAAAGUUACUUCAGUAGACCUUGUAGAGUUAGAGAUGAUGGAUUUGUAUGUCAUUCUCAGCAUGGAUUAUCUCCAUUCAUGCUAUGCUUCAGUGGAUUGUAGGAACAAAGUUAUCUAUUACCAGUUCUCAAAUGAACAAGUCUUUGAAUGGAGGGGAGCACUACAGCGCUUAGGGGUCAAAUUAUUUUGUAUCUUAGAGCGAGAAAAAUGAUAUCCAAGGGGUGUAUCUACCAUCUUGUGAAAGUCAAAGACUCUAGUUCUGAAGCUCCCAAUCUUGAGUCAGUUCCAUUAGCAAGGGAAUUUCUAGAUGUGUUCCCUGAAGACCUUUCCGAAAUUUCUCCUAAAAGGGAAUUCGAUUUUGGGAUACACCUUCUUCUAGAUAUCCAACUUAUCUCUAUUCCGCUAUGUAGAAUGGUUCCAGGUUAACUUAAAGAGCUAAAAGAACAGUUAAAUGACCUCCUAAAUAAGGGAUUCAUUAGGCCAGUGUUUCCCUAUGGGGCGCUCCAAUCCUUUUCAUGCGAAAGAAAGAUGGUUCUCAUAGAACAAAUAUGCAUUCUCCAGAAUCAAAGACUUGUUCGACUAACUUUAGGGUGCCAAUUACUUUUAUAAUAUAGAUCUCAGAUCCAUCUAUUACCAGCUCAGAGUCAGAGAAUGUGAAAUUCCAAAAACAUCUUUCAGAACUCGGUAUGGUCACUUCAAGUUUCUAGUUAUGUAUUUUGGUCUCAAAAAUGCCCCAAAAACCUUUAUGGACUUGAUGAACUGAGUGUUCAAAUAGUACUUGUACAUGUUCAUCAUAGUCUUCAUCGAUGACAUUCUUGUCUACUUCCAUAACGAAAAUGAUCAUGCCAACUAUCUCAAAAUUAUACUACAGACUCUUAGAGCCCAUCUGUAGUUCGCCAAAUUCAGUAAGUGCGAAUUUUUUCUAAGUUCAACAACUUUUAUUGGCCAUAUUAUUUUCGGUAAUGGCAUUAGAGUUGAUUUUCAAAAGACCGAAGUUGUGAGAAACUAUCCCAGACACAUCUAUUCUUCAGAUAUUAGGAGUUUCUUGGGUUUAGCUGGCUAUUAACGACGGUUUGUUAAAGACUUUUCAUCUUUUGCAUCCCUCAUGUCUAGAUUGACUUAGAAGAAAGUCAAGUUUUAGUGGUCAGAUUCUUGUGAGAAGAGUUUUUUAAUCAGGAUUUGAAGACUCGACUCACCACAACCCCAGUUUUUAUGCUGCCAGAUGGUUCAGAUUGGUUUGUUUUGUACUAUGAUGCUUUCAUAGUUGGUUCGGGGUGUGUUUUGAUAUACAAGAGUAAGCUCAUAGCCUAUGCCUCUAGACAGGCUAAGCCCUAUGAGAAGAAUUACCCUACCCAUGAUCUUGAGUUAGCAACUAUUGUGUCUGCCCUGAAGAUUUGGAGGCACUAUUUGUAUAGGGUGAAUAUAGAUGUGUUCACGGAUCACAAAAGCUUGCAGUACAAGUUCUCGCAGAAAGAUUUAAAUCUUCAUCAGAGAAGGUGUUUAGAAUUCCUAAUAGACUGGGACAUGAGUGUUUUGUAUCAUUUGGGUAAGUCCAAUGUAGUGGAGAAUACCCUCAGUAGAUUGGCUAUGGGUAGUGUUGCUCACGUUAAGAAUGAUAGAAAGAAGUUAGUUUAGGAGGUUCAUCAGCUCACCAGAUUAAGUAUUCACUUGAUAGUUUGGUAUCAUCUUUGGUUGCCGAAGUGAUAGAAAAUUAUGAUAUGGAUUCAAGUUUGGUUGGAUUGAAAGAGUCUGUUAGAGAUCAAAAAGUAGAGGCUUUCUCUUAAGGAGGAGAUGGUGUGUUGCGUUGUCAGAGUAGACUAUGUGUGCCGUGUGUAGAUAAUUUGAGAUUGAAGAUUCUUGUUAAAGCGCAUGGUGUGCAUUACUCUAUUCAUCCAGGGUCCACUAAGAUGUACCACGAUUUGCGGGAAAUGUAUUGGUGGAGUGGGAUGAAGAGGGACAUUGCAAAGUUUGUAGCUAAGAUCUCUACGUGUCAACAGGUUAAGGUUGAACACCAAACGCCUAGUUGUUCUAUCGAAGAGUUUAAUAUUCCCACUUGAAAGUGGGAGGAAGUGAACAUAGACUUUGUGAUGGGUUUGUCUCGUACUCAUUAUCAGCAUAAUUCGAUUUGGGUCAUUGUGGACAGGAUGACCAAAUUAGCUCAUUUCUUGCUAGUUCAUACUUCUUAUUCAGCUGAGGACUAUGCCAAGAUCUAUAUUAGAGAGCUGGUUAGGUUGCAUGGUGUUCCGUUGUCCAUCAUUUCUGUCGAGGUACUCAGUUUACCUGUCACUUUUGGAAAGCUUUCCAGAAGGGUCUGGGUACCUAAGUUCACCUCAGUACAGCCUUUCACCCUAAGAUAGAUGAUCAAGUAGAGAGGACCAUUCAUACCCUAAAGGAUACAUUAAUAGCAUGUGUCAUUGACUUUAAGGGUAAUUGGGAUGAUCACUUACCUUUGAUUGAGUUUGCGUAAUAUAACAAUUAUCAUUAUAGCAUUCAGAUGGCUCCGUUUGAGGCUCUUUAUAGGAGGAGAUGUUGAUCUCUAAUUGGUUGGUUUGAGGUAGGUGAGAUCACUUUGGUAGGGCCUGACUCAGUGUUUGAUGCUUUAGAUAAAGUCCAGUUGAUCAGGGAGAGGCUUAAGACAACCCCAAGCGGACAGACUUAGUUUACUUAAAAAUCUCUCCCAUGAAGGGAGUAAAGAGGUUUGGUAAGAAAGGAAAGCUUAGUCCUCGAUAUGUUGGACCUUACAAAAUCCUAAGUCAUUUCACAAAGGUAUCCUAUGCGCUUGAUUUUCCUGCAUACUUAGCAUCAGUGCAUCCCAGUAUUUCAGGUCUCAGUGUUUUGCGAGAAAUUUUGACUUUUGAAAGAGAGUCACCACUUAAUUUUGAAAAGGAAUUAAGAAACCUUUAUAAAUACUUUAAAAGAUUCAAAAUAGAAAAAUCAUUUUAAGUCAGAAAUUCUAGAUAAGCGGUUCCUAUUAACAUUUUAGGAAGGUGUUAGGCACCUAAAACGUCCGCUAACUUGCAGUUAUCCGGAAUGUUUGAAAACGUCUUUUGACUAACUUUAGAAAAUAGAUUGGUUUUUGAAAAGAAAGUGAUUUUAGAAAUAUUUUGGUGUUUAUGCAAAACCAGUUUUUAGCGACUUAGUUAGGGAUUUUAACUAAGUUCGCAAGAAAACACAUAAUCUAGAUAAGGACUUGAGCUAUUAGGCCCAAAUCGACAACCCUAUCCUAAUCUAGAUAUUGGGCUUUCAGCCCGUCUUCCACCUGUCCUAAUUCUAUCUUUUCGAGCCCUUAGCUCGAAUCUUGCUCCACCUAUAUUGAAUACAACUUUGGCUUCGUGGCCCGAAUGAAUAAAAUAAAGAAACAAGACAACAAAGAAAUGAAUGCAUAAAGGCAACGCUGAAUAACUAGGCAAAUAAAUGAGACUUUUAAGUCUCUUAGCCACUUCGAAUAUGGGAUUUCAACCCAUUCUUUUUCCUUCGAUUCUUCGUGUCCAUAUUCUAUGUAACUGAAUUGAGAUUUUCCUUCGGAAUCAACUCGGGGUUAUUGGGCCUCAAUAGCCCAAAUAGACAUGCAAAGGAAAAAGAGUCCACAUGCAAAAGAAAGGCGAAGUAAUUAAUGAGUGUUCAAAGAUAAAUACUUAAAGAUAAAUGACAUCAUUAAAAGAGCAUUCUCACACGUCCAGACAAUAGCAAGUAAUGACAUGAAAAUGAUCCAUCUUAUUCAAUGAAAGGCAGUUAAUCUACUCUCUAAGCUAGAACAGUAGGAAUAAAACAAUCAUAACAAUAGUAAUAAUAACACAACGGGCAAGUGUGAAUGACUAGAGCCAUGCGACAUUCGAUAAUAACCCAAUAAGAUGCCUAUAAGCCAUUCCAGAGUUCAAAAUUUAAACUUUUAAAGUCUCGUGAAAAUUAAAAUUAUAGAGAUAUAGUUCUUAUACACUUUAACAUGAUACCAUCAGAGGGACAGAGCAGCGGUGACAACCACAAGUUAAGGAAAAAGGAAAAAAAAUUCUAUUCGUGAUCAAAUCUAGACUCCAGUCCCUUUUUUACUACUCAUGGUUGCGACCCAUAAAAGAAAAAGACCCUCCAUUUUAAGUACCAACAAAUUCACACAUCAGAUUUCCCUUUAUCAAUGCUAGUAUGCAACUACACCAAAUAUUAAUUCUAGCUGGACAGAUCUUGAAACAAGGAUCAAAUUCCAUCAAAGUGAUGAAAAGUAAUAAUGUGUGGGUCACAUAUUCACAAUCAGAACAUGGUGGUGCGCGACUAGAAUCAAAUGGGAGUAAAUGAAACAAUCCAAACAAUUACUUUAAGAAUUUUAACAUAGAGGCUGCUCUCAUCAAAACCCUAUUAAAACUGCGACUACAUCAAACUAUUCCCAACAAAACAAAGUUAUGAUUACAACAACACCAGCUAUGCAUAAAAGAGGCGAAGGAGAAAAAAGAUCAAAUUAGGAGGUAAACGGAGUGUAUUUACCUCUUUAAGGGCAGCAAUCAGACGACGAGCUAUCAGUAAGAAUUGUCGCUAUCGAAAUCUCGCGAUGUCGAUUACCAACAGAGCGUCUCUUUGCUUUGCCCUCUUAGAUAUUUUGAAAACCACUUUCAACUAAAAAAUUCAACUUGAAUUUAGAACUCUCGAAUUUUCUUUCAGUUUCACUAAAAAUUACUUCGAACCUUCGAACUUAAGAAAUUUCGAUACCUCAAGUUUUCAGCCUAAACUUUCAAACCCUUUAAAGAAAAGAAAGAAAAAUUUUUGAACCUCCCAAAAUUUUCGAACACCACCUGAUUUUCCCUACCCAAAAAGAGAAAAAGCCCCCCCCCCCCCCCCCCCCCGCCCCCCCACCCGGCUUGUUUUAAGAAGAUAGAAUUGGGUAUUUUAGAGAUUUUUGAAAUAGGACAUCUUGAAUUCAAAACCAAAAAGAUCCUCCAGCCCAUCAAUCGUAUUUUGAAAUUGAGAAAAUUUAGGGGAAUGGAUUUUCUUCAACCAAUGGAAAAGGGGCACAUGCUUACCUUCAUGGUACAAUUCUAACAACCGAGAACGGAUUCUUGAUAGCUAGGUUUUUUUGGAAUGUUGAGGGCUGCCACCUAGACUCUUUCUAGAAGAUUCUUGGGCAGGAUUUUUGCUGAAACUAUUGCUGUUGUCGUAACCUUGGGCUGUUUCAUGAUGAACUCAGGUCAGUUCGAGCAUGGGUAGCCAGAUUUUGGGUUGGGGUUAUCGAAUUCGGGUCGAAGAUGGGUUGGGGGUAUUGAGAUUGCUGGUGUUGUCAUGGAUUAUUGUUUUCCACUGUUUGGGUGCUGCUAUUAAAGAAGAAGGAGACAAGUGGGCCGGAUCAGUGUGAAUUGUUGGGCUGGUUGUUGUUUUGUUGCUGAAGAAAAUUGGGCCUGAGGCGGUUGGGUUUUGGAAAUGGGUUUAAAAUUGGGAUUGGGGUUAAUUAGGUUAUGGGAAUUAGGGAUUUGACCAAUUCAUUUAAUUUUUGGCCAAUUUGAUUUCAAUUAAAGUCAAAUAUAAUAGAUGGACUAAAUCAAAUCAAAAUUCGAUACGAAUUAACACAUUGUUUAAUCAUGAGCUUCUUGAUUCGAUAAAAUUAAACAAGUAUUUCUCCAAAUAGAUUAUUUGUAAGAAUAAAUUAUAUUUAAAUCAAGAUUUAAUUAUUUAUAUUUAUUUUCCAAAUAAUCCUUGAUUUAAAGUCCAAUUUUGAUGUAAAUGUUUAUUUAAAUGACUUCAUUUAUACAAUCCCGUAUAAUCAAAUACGAAAUAUAUAAUUAUCACUUAAAUGACAAAUUUAACCCAAAUGCAUAUUUUAAAAUGCGUUUAUUUGGAAAAAUAAUUGUUGCGAUUUUAUUUGAAAAUCGAAGAAACCCGAGAUUAAACGUAGCUGUGGAGAGCAAAAAUUAGGUGUCAACAAAUGCCCCCUCCCUUUAGGUAGGAUGGAUGCAAGUAAUCCUGGGCAAAGGGAGGCUGACGUUCCUAAUUUUUGUCCGACCACAAAUUCGUAUCUAAGAGAGGUUGGUUUUUCGCACGAGUUUCAUGGAGUUAUGGCCGAACCUUGUUAUCAGGUUUCCUACAUAUCUCAGGUUUCAUGAGAAUUCAGGCCACUUGUAGUUCAUAAAUCUUGAUUUUGAGCAUGAUUUUCAAAAGAUUCACAAGUUAUCUCGAUUUUAGAAUUUUUGAUAAAACCGAGAAAACUGGGAGAUAAAGGGAUUAGGAGGGAGGUUGGUAUGCAGUCGAGUUUUCUACAUAGAUCCCUGCCUACAUAUCCCCAAGACUCGGGGAAUUAGACUGCUUGUAGUUCAACUCAACCGGUAGAAAAGCUAGUCUUUUAUUUCAGACAAUCUUUGGCUUAAGAUGGGUGACCAGUCAAUCGAGUUGUAGCAAAGAGGCUUGUAACCUCUUAACAAUGAACGUGGAUCUCUUCACAUCCAUAGGUAAGGACUUACUCGGACGUAAUUUCCAAAACUCUAAGUGUGUUGCCACCCGAAUUUGAAAGGAAGAGAAAUUUCCCCUCGAUAUGAGUUAAGAAAAAUCCCAGAGGUAAAGCAGAGACCAUAAUAUCCAAAAAUACCCACAUGCCUUCUAAUAGAGGAGUGGUUGGAUGGUGGUGGUUAUCAUCAUUUAGCUCGCAUCUAGAGAGUUUGACAUCCCUCUCCAGACUAUAUCCCGUUUUGCUGCUGAGAAAAAGUUCCACAUUGUGCUGCGUCCUUUUUGGAGUCGUCCGCACCUGUGGUUUUGAUUUGAGAUUUUCAACCUUUCAGAUGCUCUCGAUAAUUUCUCACACAAAAAUCAUUAGUGAUAAGCUCAAUUCACGAAAAAAGUAGAUAGUAUUUUACUAUAUCUCUGCGUGAGUUGUUGUCUAAAAAGUGAAGUCAUCCUUUCUUGUACCUUUAGAGUGGGGUGGCCCUUUUGGACACCAGAGAUACUUUUGCAGAACGGUCCCUACAACCGUGUAAUCUUAUGCUGGUGUGUCAACCCUUUUGGUUACCUGUAUUACUUGUUGUAUGUGGAAUGAUGAACUCUCCGGUUAUAGCCGAUGAUUGAUUUAUAAAUUUUCCUUAAAUUGUCAAUCUUUGGAUAAUCUUGCGCAUUAUUUGAUUUUUGGCUAUGAGGUGACUUACAGAUAUCCUUUGAAUUGCUAGCUUUUAGGCAAUCCUGCACAUUAUCCGACUUUGGAUAAGAGAUGGCUUACAUUUAUCUCUCCAAUCGCUAGUUUUCAGGUGUUCCUGCAGAUUAUCCGACCUUGGAUACAAUAUGACUUAUAGAUAAUCCCUCAAAUUGAUAGUCUUUGGGUAAUCCUGCAUAUAAUCGAUCUUGGAUAUGACGUAGCUUAUAGAGAACCCUUGGACGUAUCAAUUUAACAGUCUUGCUAUCCUCCGCUAAAGAUUUAGUUGCGACUUACGGAUAACCUUUAACUAUCAACUUUUGGGCGAUCUUGCACACCAUCCGGUUAGGAUGUUGUUGUGGAUUACGGAUGACCUACAAGCUAUCAACUCCUAGGUGAUCUUUCACACUAUCCUAUUUCAAAUAAUGUGACUUAUAGGUGACCCUCAAAUUGUCAAUUUCCAGGAAACCUUAUAUAUCAUUCAUCCUUGGAUAGCGACUUAAAGGUGUCCCUUCAAAUCGUGUACCCUCGAUGCAUUCAUAUGCUGAUUCAUGAAAUGAUGAGAUAUCCUCAACACCAAUGUUUCUAUCUAGCAUGUCAACAAAUAUUGAAUGCCUACUGGGGUAAUGGUAUGAGAUGGCCUUUGCAGCAAUGAUAUGUAAUGGCCUUUGGGGGAAUGAUAUGCAAUAACCCUUGUGGCGAUGAUAUGAAAUAACCCUUGUGGUGAUGAUAUCCAAUAGCCCUUGUGGUGGUGAUAUGCCAUAGCCCUUGUGGGGAUGAUAUGCAAUAGCCCUUGUGGCGAUGAUAUGCAAUAGCCUUUGGGGAAAUGAUAAAAAUAAUUUUACCUGAAUUCAUCUGUCAUCGUCUUGCUUUCUAUAUGUACCUGUGCACAAGGUAGGCGAUUAGUAGACAUAAAGUCGCUUUUGCUACUAUUUUUAGGAAACUUCUAAAUACAAUAUAUGUAAAGAAGACUAGGCGUUUUUGAUUGUCGCCUAUGAUCUCAAGAAAUGAGAUGGACAAAUCAAAAGGUCCUCAAUAAAUAGUUGUUAACCCAUUUUUAGGGCUACCCUAAAAUACAAUUCUUGGGCAUUAAUGAUCUGUUGUGGCUCCCAAUUUUCUCGGGGAUUUUUUAAAGAGACUCUCAUUUUUGUGUAUUGAUCCCUGCAUCUACAGAAAAAUAAUUAGUUUGAAUGAAAUUACUCCAUGUUGACCUUCUUCGAUCCUCAAUUUGCUCCUUGCCAUCUCUCAGGCAUUCCGUCAUGUUGGGACUUCCACCCUGACACUCCAUCCCAAAUGAUGUCUAGGAAAGUACUAAAUAAGUGAGUCGUAAGAUUUUUGAAAAUAUACUUAAAUUUUUGAAAAUAAUUUUGAAAACUUCUAUAAAACUUUAGAAAAUCUCUGCCAGUCAUGUCAUGUACUAGCUCAAGGAAUGUCCUCCGCAUGGUUUUGACUAUGUUCGACGGAUGGUUUCCACAACUCAUGAUCAUUAUUGGAGGGUUUAUUCAAGUAGUUCUAUCAUAGCAAAAAAUUGAGCCUACCCAGACUUUGUUACAGUUGGUGGCUUCCAAAGCUUUAACCUCUGGUGUUGGGGAAUUUGGAAUAUUUUUCGGCAUUUGGUGGAAAUUUUGAGGUCUUCCACAAUAUUUCUGUCUCAGUUUAAAGUUGUUUGAGAUGAUACCAAUCCAAGUGGAUCUGAAGUCUUUGCUGAUCUUCAUUCUCUUUGUUGGAUGUCGAUCUUAUCUUCUGAAUUUUUGAGAUUCCUUCUCGAAAAUUCUUCCCCAGCUUCCAUUUCCUGAGGUUAUACAACAAUCCUAUAUUUGAUGUCGAUUCAUCCACACUUUCAUUCCUUGUAGAGGAAGGCUAACUGCAUAUGACCGAGCUGUAGGGGCGCCUACGUAUCCCAUUGAAGCAGGAAUCAGGUCAAACAUAGUUCAGGACUACACUAGGGAUAUAUAUAGAAAAUCUAAUGGGUUGACUGAAGCCAACAUAGGCCACCUACGUAUCUCUUUUGUUGGGAAUUCAGGUCAUCACAUAGUUCAUACAUAAGAGGAAAGGAUAAAUCAUCCUAAGGGGUUGACUGAAGCUGACAUAGGAGGCCUUCGUAUCUCAUUAUUGAGAAUUCAGGUCAAACGUAGUUCGCACAUAGAGGGAAAGGGUAAAUUUUCCUAAGGGGUUGACCGAAGCCGACAUAGGCCACCUACGUAUCCCUUUCUUGGGAAUUCAGGUCAAACAUAGUUCGUACAUAAGAGGAAAGGACUCUAGAUAGUCACACGCUAGAAGACAACAUUAUUACAAAGGUGAUUACAAGUAAAUUAACUAAAGAAACACAAAAGCUAGAAUGUCCUUCAAACAUAAUAUCUCUUUACCGCAUCGAAAUUGAUUGGUUUGGUCCACUUCGUGCCAUCCAUCUCAAACAAAAUUAGAGCUCCUCCAGAUAGCACCUUGCGAACUAUGUAUGACCCUUGCCAUUUUAGAGCGAACUUGCCCUUGUACCUCUCCGGUGAGGGCAUAUUCAUUUGAGAACCAGUUGCCCCACUUCAAAUGCCCGAGCGUUCACCUUCUUGUUAAAGGCACGAAUCAUCCUGUGUUGGUACAACUGACCAUGGCAUACAACGACCAUUCUCUUUUCAUCAAUCAAUAUGAGUUGUUCAUAGCGAGCAUGACCCAUUCUUCGUUACUUAGUCCAGCUUUCUAAAUAAUCCUUAGGGAAGGUAUUUCAACUUCAGCAGGUAUUACAGCUUCAUUCCCAUACACAAGUAAAUAGGGGGUCACCCCGGUGGAGGUUCGAACUACUGUGCGAUACCUUAGUAAAGCGUAAGGUAACAUCUCAUGCCAUGAUCUAUCAUUUUUGACCAUCUUUCUCAAGAUCUUCUUGAUACUCUUAUUGGCUGCUUCCACAGCUCUAUUCAUUUGGGGACGAUAUGCAGUCAAGUUGCGAUGGACAAUCUUGAACUGAUCACAAAUUUCUUUCAUCAAGUGACUGUUCAAGUUUGCCCCAUUAUCAGUAAUGAUCGAUUUCGGUACUCCGAAUCAGCAAAUCAAGUUAUUCCUGACAAAAUCCGCAACCACUUUCUUAGUGACAUCUCUGUACGAAGUCGCUUUGACCCACUUAGUGAAAUAAUAUAUGGCAACCAAAAUAAAUGAAUGCCCAUUCGAUGUUAAUGGCUUUAUUGGUCCGAUGACAUCCGUGCCCCAAGCUACAAAAGGACAAGGCGAAUUCAUUGUAUAAAGCUCGUGUGGAGACAUUCAAAUCAGAUCUCCGUGUAUUUGAUAUUUUGGACAUCUCUGCACAUACUUACUACAAUCAUUUUCCAUAGUCAUGCAGAAGUAAUCGGUUCUCAGGAUCUUUCUAGUAAGGACAAACCCAUUCAUAUGGGGGCCACAAAUUCCAGCGUGUAACUCUUUUAUCAAUUUAUUGGCUUCCGCAGCAUCGACGCAUCUUAGGAAUCCCAAAUCAGGAGUCCUCCUAAAAAGAAUUUCCCCACUUGGAAAGUAAUUCCUUGCCAAACGCCGGAUUGUCUUCUUUUGGUUGUUACUAGCCUAUUCAGGAUAUAUUCCAGAUUACAAAUACCUUUUAAUGUCAUAGUACCAAGGCUUUCCAUUAGGCUCCUCUUCUACGUGUACACAAUGCACGGGUUGCUCCUUCAAGCUUAUUUCCAAAGGAUCAAUGUAACUUUGAUCCGGGUGCUAAAUCAUGGAAGAUAUAGUGGCCAAAGCAUCAGCAAACUCAUUUUGUAUCCGUGGGAUAUGCCUAAAAUCAACUUCCUUGAAUCUUUCACAUAAUUCUUGCACCAGCUCCACAUAAGGAGUGAUCUUGGGAUUUUUUACCCCAUUCUCCCCGUACCUGGUGAAUCAGCAAAUCUGAAACCCCAAUGACUAACAAUUCACGAACACCCAUAUCAAGUGCCAAUUUGAGACUCAGAAUGCAAGCCUCAUAUUUAUCCAUGUUAUUGGUGCAUGGAAAACGUAACUUAGCAGUUACCAGAUAAUGCUGGCCCAUUUCUGACACCAAAACUGCUCCAAUUUCUGAACCUUUGAAGUUGACCGCCUCAUCAAAAAAUAGCCUCCAUCCGGGGUAAAUCUCUGUAAUGUCUUCUCCUACGAACAAAACUUCCUCAUCUGGAAAGUAAUUUCGAAGUGGCUCAUAUUCCUCAUCAACUGGGAUCUCUACCAAACGAUCUGCUAAGGAUUGCCCCUUGAUUGCUUUUUGGGUUACAUACACAAUAUCAAACUCACUCAGCAAUAUUUUCCACUUAGCUAGCUUUCCUGUAGGCAUGGCCUUUUAGAAAAUAUACUUUAAUGGAUCUAUUCUCAAGAUGAGGUAUGUUGUGUAGGACGACAGAUAAUGCCUCAACUUUUGUGCCAUCUAAGUCAAAGCACAACAUGUCCUUUCUAUAAGAGUGUAAUGGGCUUCAUAUGGCGUGAACUUUUUACUCAAGUAGUAAAUGGCUUUCUCUCUCUUACCGAUCUUAUCAUGUUAUUCGAGGACACAUCCAAAAGCAUUUUUUAAGACUGACAGGUAAAGCAAUAAUGGAAUUCCUUCUCUUAGUGGAACCAAAACUGGCGGUGCAGACAAGUAUUCCUUGAUGCGGUUAAAAGCUCUCUGACAUUCUUCUGUCCACUCAUUCAAUGGAUUUUUCUUUAACAUCUUGAGAAUUGACUCGCAUAUGACUGUUGAUUGUGCGAUGAAUAUGCUAAUGUAAUUCAAACGACCCAUGGAACUCAUAAUUUCCUUCUUAGUUUUUGGCGGUGGCAAAUCCUAAAUUGUCUUGAUUUUGGAUGGGUCUAACUCAAUGCCUCUUCUACUGACUAUGAACCCCAGCAACUUCCCUGAUGGCAUACCAAAAGCAUACUUCGCAGGGUUUAAUUUCAAACUGUUCCCUCUUAAUCUGUUGAAAAAUUUCUCCAGAUAAGUCAGAUGAUCCAAACUCUCACGGGAUUUGAUAAUUACAUCAUCCACGUACACCUCAAUCUCUUUAUGGAUCAUAUCAUGAAAAAUCAUCGUCAUAGCCCUCAUAUAUGUUGCACCCGCAUUUUUGAGACCAAACGGCAUUACCCUGUAAUGAUAAACGCCCCAGAGUGUAAUAAAAGCCAUUUUUUCUGCAUCUUCCUCAUCCAUCAAUAUCUGAUGAUACCCGACAAAACAAUCAACGAAUGACUGCAUUUUAUGUUUUGCACAAUUAUCGAUGAGAAUAUGGAUGUUGGGCAAUGGAAAAUUAUCUUUAGUACUGGCUCUAUUUAAGUCUCUAUAGUCAACACAAAUUCGAAUCUCGCCAUCCUUCUUCGGCACAGGGACGAUGUUGGCCAACCACGUCGGAUAUUUUGUGACCUCGACAACAUUAGAAUGUAUUUGUUUUGUCACUUCUUCCUUGAUCUUUCGACUUAAAUCUGGCUUGAAUUUUUGCAUUUUUUACUUGACUGGAUCAAAAUCUGGAUUUAUUGGCAACUUAUGUGACACAAUGCUGGUGCUCAACCCUGGCAUAUCAUCAUAGGACCAAGCAAACACGCCGAUGUAUUCCUGCAACAGGUGGAUGAGCUCUUUCCUUUGUGGCGCCGCCAGGUGGAUACUUACACUUGUCACUUUGAUUUCAUCGUGAUCUCCCAAGUUGAAUGUUUCAGUUUCCUCCAGAUUAGGUUUUUCGUGAUUCUCAAAUUCCUCCAUAUCUUCGACUAAUCAUCCUUGUCAUCGUCUUUCCAAUCAUCAUUGUUCCCCUCAUUUUGUUCAUUCAAGCUUUGACAUGACACGACAUUGGCAGAUUUUAAGCUACUGUUACUGUACUAGACAAACAAACCAAGUUAGAUGAUAACAAGAUAAUAACAAAAUAUAUGACUAGGAGUGUUUUAGAAACAAUAGAAUUUUCUAAAUAAAUGAAGUCCUUUUCAUUGAAAUUUGGGAGAUAAUUACAAAAUCGUGGCUUAUGACUUGCAAAAAUACAGGUCUGUGCCUUUUUGAAAGUAGUAAGAUAUGAAAAGGAAGUUUUGAGAUAAAAAAGGUGGAUCGCAGUGCCUCUUCCAGAUCAUCACCGAUUUUAAAAACUAUCAGUAAUUGCCCUUUCAUCUACCACGAUGGGCGAUGGGUUAAGAGUGGAGCGGAGGUCCAAUUUUACAAGGCCUCCCCUGGCGCAAUCUGCUUCACCCCGCUGGACUUUGGGAGAUCUUCUGGUACAGUAUUGCAUCCUUUGAACAAAUUUGCUAUCCCAUCCCCAAUACUAUCAUUAUCUGAUAUCUCUUGUACAGGAAAUGACUGGAACAGGAGUGGCAAGGACCCAAACAGACUUUUCUCUAGCUCAUCCUCAACCCUAUCCUUCCUGGUAGGCUGAUAUCCUAACGUAUACUUAAAGCCUCUCUCUGGGAUCCCGAUAGGAUCGAUAAUUCCUUGUAAAUUCUUACCCAAGCCUCGACCAUGUUCGAACCCAUUUCUUAACAUCACCGUUGCAUUCAUUUUAUAGACAGAAGGCAUUGGUAAUUUGGGUGUCGAAUCUCUGUCUACAGCAUUUACACUUUCCACAAUAUAGAAACUACUGCCCUUUGGAACAUCUUUAAUUACCGACACAUAACCAUUGGGAUGGUCCGCUUGACUUUUUUCUCCUUGGAUGACUACUUCAUGAUCUUCCCAAAUAAACUUCAAUAAUAGAUGAAGGGGUGAUGAAACUGCCUUUGCAUCGUGUAUCUAUGGUCUUCCCAAGAGCAAGUUGUAGCUAGGAUGAAUAUCCAUUACAUAAAACUUAGUUUUGAACUCAGCAGGCCCCAUUUAGAUGUGCAAAUCAAUCUCUCCUAUGGUAUCUCUCUGCCCUCCAUCGAAUGCUCUCACAUUUAUGUGGCUUUGACGAAUUUUCCCCAGAUCAUAACCCAUUUGAACCAGCGUAAAGAGGGAAAAAUAUUCACACCAGAUCUAUCAUCUAUUAAUACUUGAUUAAUUGCAUAAUCUCAACAAAUAACGAUGACAUGCAUGGCUUUGUUGUGUAUCGCCCCUUUAAACGACAACUCUUCAUCACUGAAUGAUAUGCGAUGAUUUCCCACAUUGUUCCCUAUCAUAGCAGCCAGGUUCUCAACACUCGUUCCUAUGGAAAUAUACGCUUCAUCCAAGACCUUCGAUAAAGCCUAUCGAUAGUAUUGUGAACUCAUUAAUAGUGCCAAGACAGAGAUUUGGGCUGGCGUUUUCUCCAAGUAUUUGAUAAUUGAGUAAUCCUUUGGUUGCAUACGCCUCCAAAAUUCCUCAGCCUCUCCUUCAGUGAUUGGCCGUUUCUGUGAAUCUUUUUUUUGGUCAAUUCGUCAAGGAUGUAACAUCGUCCCGAUCGCGUCAUCCCUUGGGCAGCAAUGGUUUGCAUAGUAAAUUCCUUUCUUGGAGGGUGGCGUACACUUGAGUCGGGUCUGUAAUCACUAUAAAUAGGGUUUUCUCGCUGAUACUUAAGGCAGCCAUAGCCUUCUCUAUAUUUCCUACCUAUUUCGCUCUUUUGUGCUUUUCGGAGUUUACCUGGGUAAUGGUCUUGCCAGAUUCCCAUUUGCUCUCUAUCUCAAUCAUGUUGACUGUAGAUCCCCCAUGGUUGGGCAAUGGAUUACUGCUAACAUUUGGAGUAGGUUUCUGGAGCGCGAUGACCUUUUGAUCGAUUAAAUCCUGGAUCUUGUGUUUCAAGUGGACACAAUCCUCUGUAUUGUGCCCUGUUGCCUCCGAAUGAUAGGCACAAUGUUGACUUGCAUUAAAAAAUUGAGAGUUGAGAUUGACACUCUUUGACUGUAUUAGUUGCAAAUUACCGGUAUUCCUCAAUCUGUCAAAUAAUUGGGUAUGACUUUCAGCUAGUGAGGUGAAGUUAUGGGGAGGUUUCUUUUCUUAGUUCGAACGUUGGGGGUUAUACUGGCUUAGGUUUGUAGGAGGGGGUACUUGGUGAUAAUUUGGAGGCGUUUGGAAAUUUGUUCGGUUAUUUGGAGGAGUGGUUUGGAAAUGAGACUUAUAAUUUGGAGGUGGAACUGGGUAUUGGGGAAAGGUGUUUGGAUGUGGAGCUUGGUAUAAGAAUUGGAUGUUUGGGAGUGGAGUUUGGUACUGGGGGUGGGCGUAAAAUGCGUGCGAAGGUUAGGUGACGGCGGGGAAGAUAAAACAUUUCUAGAGUUGAACCGCUGUUUUGAUUUUGUAAUAGAAUUAGAAGAAACCAUACCUACCUCUUCCUUCUUCUUCUUAGAAAACAUGGCAGUUCCAGACGAUGUCGGGGUUUUGGCAAUUUUCCCUAUUCGAAUACCUUCUUAUAAUAAUUCUCCUAUUUUUACCAAAUUCGAAAAGGUUGCUUUGACAGUGGACAACAUCCUGGUAUAAUAUUCUCCUUCUUGAGUGUGAGAGAAAACGAAUACCAUUUCCUUCUCGGACAUGGGGGGUUGCACUUUGGCAGCUUCUUUUCUCCAACGAAAAGCAUAGUCUCGAAAACUCUCAACGCUUUUUUGUUUGAUCCGAUUUAGUGAAUACCGGUCAGGGACUAUUUCAAUGUUGAAUGCGAACCGGUCAAGGAAACCCUUGGCCAAUGCUUUCCAACCAGUCAACUUUUUCAUCUCCUGAUACAUGAACCACUCCAAGGCUUCAUCAUUCAAACUUCGACUGAAUAGGCGCAUCAAUAGCGCCUCGUUCUUUCCUAUCCCUACCAGUUGCUCACAGUACCUUCUUAGAUGGGACAUUGGAUUUCCGGUACCGUUAAACAUCUCAAACUUAGGGACUUUGUACCCUUCUGGUAGAUCUACUCUCGGGUGAACACAUAAAUCUUCAUACCCCACCGCCAUGGUCCUUGUCUCCAUGAGACUUUUUGAUCCUUAUGAUCUCUUCCUUCAUAGAUAGUAAAUUCUUUUUAUGUUGGGCCCUCCAUUCUUUCUCCUUCUCCUCGUAAUGGCCCAUCUUGGGGUUAGAAAGGGGCUCAUAGAUAUCAAGGGAUAUGAUGCCUUGAGGGGGAUUUGGAAGAAAGGCCUAAUUUUGCGAAAUGAAGGAACUUGGUUGGUAAGUGAGGAGGAUGUUUUGGAAAUUGGAAAGGUUCCGUGGACUUUGUAAGUAGUUUGGCGGAAAAGGAUUUUGCGGAUUUGGAAAUGAAUUUGGUGGAUUCGAAAGUAGGUUUGACGUAUUUUGUAGAUUUGGGAAUGAAUCUUGCGGAUUUGGAAAUGCGUUUUGUUGAUUUGAGAAUGUGUUUUGAGGAUUUGGGAAUGGAUUCGAAGAUGGGUUCUGUGGGGUUACGAACAAAUUUUAUGGAUGGUAGGCAUCUGGAUUAUUUUCACGAUUAGUAUUUUGGACAAAUGGAGGAGCGGAGCUGGAUGAUACGUUAGUUGGCUGGUGCCCGAGAAUAGGGGUGCUGAGGGGAGGGAUUUGGAAUGGAGUCCUGUGUCCAUCUAGAGCGGGGGCAUUGACGGUGAUGGCCAAGUUAGCCAAAUUUCGAGUACGAUUUACUUCUCCUGAAGCAUUUUUAACUUUCUUGCAAGUUCCAUAAUCAUUUCAUUCUGUUCCGCUAUCAAUUGUCCCGACUAGUCAGUGCGUUCUCUUCGUUAUUUCCUGUCAUUUCUGGAUGAUGGUCAGAGGAUGGGAUUUUGUGCUCUUUCCAUAGGGUGAAGUAGGGAUGUUCUGCCCGCUUAUAUCAACAUAGAGUAAUUUCUAUUAUCUAUAAAGUAAAACAACUCAAAGGCAGAUGUGUUAGUUUCCAUAUAUGAUAAAUAAUAGAAAAUAUUUGACAUGAAAUAACCACAUAGAGUUGUUUGAGUCAUAGCCAAGUUCUUCCAUAGGACAAAGUGGAUAAACUUGCCUUUGAUUCAAACAUACGCACAUAAGCACAUGAAACAGUUAUAUCACACAAAAAUGUUAUAAUAACGUGUAUCCUAGCUGGGGUGACCCUUUUGAGCCAAGGGUUCAGGCCUAAAGAUUUUUGAAGAAAAUAUAUGAUUCUUCGAAGUCAACCCAUUAACCUCCAACUUAUAUAGACACGAAAAGGUCAUAAAUGCUUACAAAUGAUAAUAAAAUAGGGAUACAAUCUUUAGGGAAAGGGAAAUAACAUGAAAGAAGACACGUUCCCACACAGGGGAUAGAAAAUACUAAUUCCCGAGUGCUUCUUCUAUCAACCUUUGUCUUCUUAGGUUCGUCCAUUUCUUAUAUUGGUGACAUUCGUUGACGUUAAAACUGUGCCUUAGAUGCCAUGCAACUAUCCAAAUUGAUCAAUUUCUUGCUUGGCUUGUUUCAAUUCCUUCGUCAAUCGAUGUACGAUUGAGACAUCCUAAUAUAAAAGUGAAUAAAGCAAGUCUUCUCCCAACCCCCAAAGGAUAAUGGAUUGGAUUAAACAAACAUAUAUUUCUUCAACACAUAAAUAUGAUUCGUCUGUAAUUGACUUGGGGUCAAUAGACGUAGGCCAAGUUUUCUAAUGGGCCCAAUACCCCCUCGGGUAUUGGGUCAUCCUAGGCUCAUGCCUAAAAUAGGGUUUUGUUUUCGUUCUAUCCUAAGUGUCUAGAGUGAGUUUGAGCAUUGGUUCUCAAGAAGACAACUUGAGUUCGAAAAUACGAACAGCCAUCAGACGACUCACGUACUAAUAAGCCGUUCGUAUUUUCAACACAUUUUGGAAUUGAUCAAUAGGGGCCGAGAUACCCACGAAACCCCAAAAUGGUUUAAAUAAUGCAGGAAUAUGCCAUGAGAUGCGAUAGUUUAAUUUUACAUAAUAGAAACAUAUAAACACAUAAACAAUUAAUCAAAAGACGAAAUCAAACAUUUGGUUAGAACCUAGUUAAAGAUCCCCAGCAGAGUCGCCAUUUCUGUUUUGCGGAAUUUUUGACUUUUGAGAGAUUCGCCACUUAAUUUUGAAAAGGAAUUAAGAAACCUUUGGAGAGUUACUUCAAACGAUUCAAAAUAGAAAAAUCGUUUUAAGUUAAAGAUUCUAGAUAAGCAGUUCCUAUUAACAUUUUAGGAAGUUGUUAGGCAGCUAAAACGUCCGCUAACUUGCGGUUAUCCGGACUGUUUGAAAAUAUCUUUUGAUUAACUUCUGAAAAGAUUAAUUUGUUGAAAUAGUGAUUUGAUUUUUAAAAAAAAAAAAGACACGUGUAAAAUAGGUUUAGGCGACUUAAUAGGGAUUUUAACUAAGUUUAAACAAAACUAAUAAACAAAUAAACACAUAAAAGGGGAAGGGAGGAGAAAGUAAAGGAUUUAGGCCACUGAGCCCAAAUCAACAAGACCUGUCCUAGUAUAGUUGGGAUUCCGACCCAUUUCACCUGUCCUAAACUAUUUUUCGAGCCUUUGGAUCGAGUCUUGCUCCACCUAUAUUAAAUACAACUUUGGCUUCGAGGCCGAAAAGAAUGAAUAAAUAAAUGACUAAACGAAUAAAUAAAAAGAAGACAAUAAUAAAAAUUGAGACUUUUCAAGUCUCUUAAUGACCUCAUCAAUGGGUUUUGACCCAUUUUCCUUCUUCGUCUAUCUUCUAGCACCCGCACGCCAUGUAGUGGACCUCGGGUUUAAUCUUCGAACUUGACUCGAAGGGGUAGACCUCAUUGGCCCAUUACGAAAUGCAAGAGAAGCGAAAUCUUUUUGGGGGCAGCAAAACGAGACUACGAGCUUCAUCGGAAUCAACCACCACCAAUAAAACGUCGCCAGCAACUUGAAAUUUUUUAUUAGCUGACCAACUCUAUGAAACAAAAAAUUUUACUAAAUAAAAAUGACUAUUUUGCUUAAAAGGGAUUUUUUCACCUUUCUAGCUUUUUUUUUUCUUCUCCCCUCCUUUUCUACCAAAGUAGUGGUAGUAUUUAUAGGAGAGAAUGGGGUAUUUUUUUUCCUUUUCCAUCAAUGUGGGAGAAAAAGCAUUUAGGGGGGUUUUUGGAAUGUAAAAAUUAAAGAUAAGGUGAGGUGGAAGAUAAUGUGGGCGAAAAUAGUACAAUGUAGUACAAUCUUUGAAUUUCAAAAUUAGAAAUGGACAAAGUUGGGGGGAAUAGUACAAUUUGAAUUUAUAUUUUAGUGGGAAUUGGGUAAAAGUUAUGAGAGUUCUUGAGAAUUUCAGGGUUAUUUAAAAUAUAACCCCAAUUGGAAUUUAAAAUUUAGCCAUAUUUAUUUAUUUUGACCAAAUUAAAAAUUAAUUGACGAAUUGCAUUGUAAUUAUGAUCAAUUUUCAAUUAUGGUCAAAUCUAAUAGAUUGGCUAAAUUAAAUUAAAAUUCGAUACGAAUUAAUACUUUUUUUUAUCCCGUGCUUCUUGAUUUAAUAAAAUGAAUGCAUAUUUAUCCAAAUAAAUUAUUUUUGAGAAUAAAUUAUAUUUAAAUUAAGAUUUUAAUUAUUUGAAUUUAUUUUCAAGAUAAGCCUUAAUUAAAUCCGAUAUUUUGUAAAAUAAAUAUUUAAGUAACAAAUUAUAUAAUCUCGUAUAACUGAACACGAUAGUAUAUAAUCUCUACUUAAAAUGACAAAAUCAAGUACGAAAAAUAUUUUAAGUUUUUUUUUAUUUGGAUGAAAUAAUUAUUUUGGUUUAUUAGAAACUGAAGAAACUCAGGAUUAAAUUUAGUCGUGGAGGGCAAAAAUUAGGUGUCAACACUCAUUGCUAAGAAGUGUAUUUGUGACCCAACUGUUGUGGUCCCCUUAGAAAACGUAGAUGUUCAGAAUAGUCUCUCUUACGUAGAAAUUUUAUUCGAAAUCCUUCAUCGCCAGAUUCGUAUGCUAAGGAACAAAGAAGUUCCCUUGGUCAAAGUUCUUCGUCAGAACUAGUCUGUUGAGGGAGCCACUUAGGAAGCAGAAGAAGAUAUGCGAACCAAGUACCCUCAUCUCAUCACCGCAAACUCAGACUUAGUUUAAGGUAACAGUUUCCCUCAUAUUUUCCCUUUUUCCAUAAUCAGUUUCAGUUGCACGUCAUCCUUAUGUCAUUCAUGCAUUCAUGAAACAGUUCAGUCAUGUAUCAUGUUUCAGACUCAGUCAGGCAACCAUACUUUCAGUAUGCAUAAUUAGCAUGUAAUCUCUUAUACCUCAAUAUUCUUAGCUUAAUUAGUCUUAUUUGAGAAUGAAUGUUUCCAAGGGGGGGAUAUUGUAAUACCCCAUAUUAUUCUUUACUCAAUUUAGCUCCAAGUGUAUGUGUAAGAGACUUAGAACCUAAAAAUUUAGCUAAGUGUUGCAGACUUAGUCUCAUUUUUUACCUUUAAAAUUUGAUGAUUUUAUUCUCGACCUUCCCGACCCCGAAAAGUUGGUUUCUAAAUUAAUUCAUGACCAGAGGUGUUGAUAGUUCAUCUCGAGUAAGUUUCGGGUUUUUUGGACGAUGUUUGGGGAAUUUUUGGAUAGCCCAAGCAGUGGACCAACACGAUAUGAUCGCAUCGCGUUGGCUUCCGCAUUGGCAACAGCAACACAGUACGUCGCUUAUUACGUCGGGUUGUAUCACCAAAGCGUCGGGGCCAAAUUCAGUUUAAAUAAAUUUUGGGUCCUAAGGGGUAUUUGGGAAAAACCCCCCCCCCCCCCCCCCAAACACUUUAAUUCAACUAAAACAUGGUGUUUAGGACAAUAAUUUUUCCUCAUAUUUUAUAAUUCCCAAUAACUGAAAUCAUUCUCUCCCAAGAAAAAAACCCUAGCUCUUUCAACCUUCAAGAUCAAUUCUCAAGAAAUCCACCAAGAACUUCAAAGAAUUCUUCGAUCAAGGUAUGUUAGGUGUUCAUCCUUGGGUCCUUUUCACCUUUGGAGCCCAAGCACCACAUUUUAAACUUAAGUUAUGAGUUUCACAUGAUUAAAUUGAUUUAUGUCAAUGAAUAUUUUUUUUAUGUUGAUUUCGCGUUAAGAAUAUAUGUGUGUUAAAGUAGAAUGAACCAAUACGUAUUUUGAAUGAUGUAAUUCUCAUGUCGAAUCCCUAAGUUGUGAAUUGAAUACUAUAGUCAUUGUAUUUUAUCAUGUUGCUCAUGCCCAUGUAAAAGUUCAUGCCUCCCAUGUGUUUAGUAAAAUGUCUAGAUGAAUGAGUUCUGAACAAUGACUACUUAUUAUGUUUCUAAAGUUGUAGUAUGGUCCCAUUGUCAAUGCUAUCGAGUCCAGGGGGUUAUUAAUACCCAAAAUUUAGCUAUUUACGUAGUUUUCAGAUUUUACAGUAUGGAUUCAGUUAUACCAUGAGCAAUAUCUUUUAGUCAAGUUACCAUAGUUAGUUGUGUAUUCAGUUAAGCCUAGUCCAGUCUAAUGAUUAGUGUCAGUUCAGUUGGGAGUAGGAUUCAACACCGAGUGAAUCCAGGGAUGGGGGUAUUACUGUCAGGUUAGGGUUUGACCCUUAGUAGCAAUUCCUGAGUUAUAGAACUACAUAGCCAGCUUAGGUUGAGAUGUCUUCCUGUCAAUUAGGGUUGACACAUAUAUCUUGAGUACUCCUUCUAGAUUAUGGUGACUCAUGUGUACUUCAGGAUAUUCGUUUAGUGGAUCCACACAUCCAUUGUUAGUACCCGUGGCACGAUAUUGACACCUUUUUAUCUAGGGUUACAGGCUGGAUUCCAAUUAGCUCAUAUUGGGGGCAUGUUGGUUAGAUGAUACCUCCCAUAGUCUUAAUUUAAUAUUUAGUAGAGUCAGUUUAGGUUUGUAGGGCAUGUCAGUUAGAUGUCCUAUCUCAUAAAUUCUCACACUCAGGUUCCCGACCAUACUUAGACUUUCCAGUGAAUCAGAAGCAGCAAUAGGGGUGAGUCUUCGUCCUUCAAAGAUGAGUUAUCUUAUAGUUGGUUACGUUAGUAGUUCAGUUAUUUUAUCAGUUGGAGUUGGUUGGGGGUUUGUCCCAUCAAUUCUACAGUCAGUAAAUUAAAGACUUCCAGACUACUACAAAAAGUUGGUCAGUUUUUAGUUGUUUUCAUCAGUAUUACUAGCAUGUUUUUAGACGUUUAAAAUAAUGAUUUAUUAUUGAUUUUAGUUGUUAAACCUUAUUGCCUUUUUAGUUAAAUUCGACACAUGUCUUUGUCAUUAUUUUUCAGUGCUCACAGCAGGUACCAGUUCAUGAGUUAGCUUGUGGUCUCUCAGGGCCAUAUGUACCAUUUUGCUUCCAAGGUGCAUUCCCGGGGCAUUACAAGAACCUAUCAAAAACAUAAAGACUUGAAUCCCCUAGAAGGGGUAUCCUAAAUAGAACUUAGUGUCCUCAUAUUAUAGUUAUCGGAGGGAGUUUGGCACUCAUGUAUAUAGUGAUACCUCUUUGUUCAGAUCGUGCUUAUAGAUUUAAUGAAAGAGUAUGUCCACAAGUAUAGUGUAGCGACCUUUGAGCUAAGGUGGAGAUGAUGAACUAAGAAAAGUCUUGAAUUUUAUCAUGGUGGUGAGUUUUAGGGACAAGUCAUGAUAAAUCUAUUCUUAUCCUAGUAAAUUCCUCCUAUUUCAAUUUAAGAGGACAUUCUACCAAUGUCUUAUGUAUUCAAAUUGUGCCUAUGGCUAAGGUCCAAGUUCUCUAUGCAACUUAUGGCCAUGCUCCAACCCCUGAACUAGAAGCAAUAACGUUUCUCAGCAAUUCAUGCUUCCAAGUAUUCAAGUUCUAUGUUAUGACACUCAUGAUUCGUAAACCCAUAUCUCACUUUAUACGUAGUUCAAAGAAACUAUUCUCUUUAUACGUUACCGACUCAUUUUAUGUCAUAUCUUAGCCCAAAGUGAUGCUUCCUAUGCAAACUAAUAACCAUUCUCAGUUCUUAGAUGAAAAGUAAUAGCUUCAAGUGACACUACUUGUCUUAUUCCUUGAAAAUAUGAAUUUCGUCUUUAUGUUAUAUGACUCAUGAUAUAUGCACUCAUGUUUCUCACUGUGCCCUGUCCUAAGAAACCAUGCUAGCUUAUGAUUAGGCCUAAAUGACCCUCUACUUAUGAUCUAGGUAUUUACUAUGAAGUAUUUCGUGCCUAGUAUACCAUAUCUCACUUCGCAUGUCUCACCUUGAGUAGUACGAUAAAUUGGAUUCAUAAUUGAGCUGUAUCACCCUCAUUCCUGAUUCUUGUACUCUAGUCCCUCAAUGACACUCCUUAUGUUAGGAUGAUAGUGGUUAUGAAAGCGUAGUAAUGUUUUAGAUAAGGGAGUAAAUAUUCUUUAAUAUGAAAAUUUUAGUGUGACUACUCAAGCUAAGGUUAUAGAUGAAGAAGGGUAAAGUGAGAUGAACUUUCGUUAUAUGAUAUAGAUAGAAAGGGGAGAUGUGGUGAAAAUCAUUGUGAUUGUGAUUGAAGUUUUAAAUUUUUGGUGGGGAGAUCCAGAAAAUGGGUGUGGUAGAGACAGGCUUGAAUGUUGUGAUUAAUAGAUACACAACCCAUUGUGUUAUAUAGCUAGUACUCCUUGAUUAAGACCUAAGGGUUUUUUAUUAUAGUGAUAAUACGGAGUAGUAUUUUCUGAGGAGUGUAGAGUAUAAUGUCCCGUAAGUAAGCUAACUCCUUUUAACUCCGAAUUAGGUUUCAACAUGGGAGAAAUAUGUAUUUAGACUCAGGACCUUGUAGUUAUGUGUUUCAUAGAGGAAUUACAAGAUUGAAAUGGUAAGUGUGGUAUUCAUAGCUGAAAGCAUUGUUGAGAAAAGUCGCUAAAUUUAUGGGCUAUUAGAUGUAUCAUUUGAGGUGGAGAAUACUUCUAUCUUAUGUCCCUGGAAAAUUUUAUUUUAUGUCAAGCUACAAUAUAAAUCAGGACCUAUGAUCACAAAAUCAGUUUAUGCCUUACGUUGUUAUGAUCAUGUUCUAUAGAAAUCAUGUCCAAUCUCAUCUAUGUGUCAAGUUUCAUUAAUUCAUGGUUCGUUCUUACACAACUUACUUGUCAUUGUCAUAAAGCUUUUUUUGAUGCCUAUGCAUGUCUUGUUGAAGGAGAAUUCCAAAUAUGAAGUUACAUCCUUUAUUCCAUACUUUUAGAGCUUCAAUAAGUUCCUACCUAUCAUUCAAGGAUGAAUGAUUUCAAGAGGGAGAUAAUGUAACACCCCAUAUUUUCAGGCUAAAAUUUGAGCUAUCAUUUUACGUGUAUAGACACAGAACCAAUGAUUUUUAUGUAAAUAUUAGUGUGGUGAUCAAUUCUAUAGUGUGAUAACAUCUUUGGAGAUGAAUUGAGGUCAUAAAAAUCUUGUAACUCAAAGUUGAGUUGAGAACAUUUCUGUCAAUUGAGUUUUAGUAGACGUUCCUACACGGGUCAACUUUCAAUAGCCAUUACUCCUAGAAUAAAGCUAUUUAGGUGGCCUAUUAUAUUCCAAAUGAAAUGUCUUCAAAUCUUCUUUUCAGUGUAUCUGAUUUCACCUUAAUUUGAUACCAGAGUAGAAAGUUAUGCUCAUUUUACAUGAGAAUGUAUGUCUGCCAAAGAUUGACGAUGGGAAUUGAUGAGCCGUCAACUAGUUGAUGGGAUCUCAACUGAAAUAGUCAACCUUAGGUAGUAAAGCUCAAAAUCUGUGAGAAGUUGACAACUGGAGUUGAUGAGCUGUCAACUAGUUGACGGGAUGUCAGUUGAAGUCGUCAACCUUAACCAGUAAAGAGCAAAGAUGACUAGAGAUUGGAUAUAGGAGUUGACAAGCCAUCAACUAGUUGACGGGCUAUCAACUGAAGUCGUCAAUGACAAGCCAUCAACUAGUUUACAGAUUGUCAACUGAAGCCGUUGUCAUACCUAAUUUUUAUUUAAGGUCAAAACGAGCACGACAUUAUGGACUCUAAAAGAAUUAAUUUUUUACUGAGUCGCCACCUAAUUUUUAAGAAAAAAUAGAAAACUUAUUUAUUUGUUUAACUAGUAUGACUUUAUUUAAGGUACAAAAUCAUUUUAGAUUCCAGGUAAGGAUCCAAAUUAUUUCGAAAGGAAGGGAUUAGACACCCUUCAGAAUCCAUAAAUAUGGUUUCCGAUCAGACUUAGGUUUAUUAAACAAAGAAGAGAAAAAAAAUCAAUGUUUGUAAAUACAAAUAUAAAAUAUGUAUUGAAAUAAUGCAUAUGCUGUCGUAAAAUAUAGGGACAAUACUCACAAAAAUAUCUGAACUUUGACCGAAUUUUCAGUUGAGCAUACUGAACUUUGCAGGGGUCCUAUUACCCCCUAGACUUUUUUUUUUGUAUUUUAAUGGCAUAUAUCUGUCAACUUUUACAUGUGCGUGUAAUUCACACGCAUUGGGCGCGUGAUAGUGAUAAAAAUCAUUAUAAAACCUUGUUUUUUGGUCAGAAAUUCCCUCAAUUUUUUAAUAAACAAUAAUUUUUAUGGUUUUUUAUUUAUUUUUCAUUUAUAUCUUUUAUCUCUUCUUUCUUCUUUCUUUCUUUCUUUCUUUCUUCUCUUAUCUUCAAUGGUGCUCCUUUCUCUUCUCUCUUCUUUCUUUCUUCUCUUCAAUGGUGCUCUAUUGGUGCUUCAUUGUUGUAUUGGAAUUUGAUCAUCUUCAACACACCUAAUUGAAUUACAUCAAUUUGAACCAAUUUCAAAACACAUAUACACACCAAAUGGGUUAAUCCUUCAAUUCCAUCAAAAUAGCAAAAUUAACCCAUCAUUGCCACCACCAACCAACUUUCAAGAAUUAGAAAUCAAGAUUUUGGUGAAAAAAGCUUGUCACCAUCAAUCAACUUUCAAGAAUUAGGAAUCAAGAUUUUGAUUAAAAAAAAGUUCGUUUGGGAAUGAAGCCUUAGCUCCAUUCAGCAAAGGAAAAUACGGUAUACCUCAAAUGGUUACAGUUGUCAUUCUACUAAAAAGGAAAAUACGAUUUUGGCCUAAAGCAAUGAAAUCGCUGAUUUGGUGAAUUGUUACAAACUCAAAUAAGACUGAAAUCUUUUUCAGUUGAUAUUAUACACAGUUUUAUUCCCUUGGAAUUUGGAGUGUUUGUUCUGUGAAAAUCUUUUCCAGUUGAUAUUCAUUAUAGAGCUUGUAUGUUUGUGGAAAUUGAUACAAAGAAACUUCGGUGGUCAAGUUUUGAUCUGCUAUGGUUGUUUCAAGAAAUAAAAGCUUAUUUUGAAAAAUUAGAAAUCAAGAUUUUGGUGAAAAAUGAUGAAAAUUGAUGAAAAGAAUAAGAAUGAAAAACAAAUUAAAUAAAAAUUAAUUUUAAAUAAAAAUACACGUGUCAAUAUUAGAUUGGCGUGUGUAUUACACUUUCUACUCCAAAACUGAAUAUAGCGUUUUGGGAGAGGGGGUAAUAAUUCCAUUUUAAAAAAGUGUAAUAGGACCCCCGCAAAGUUCAAUAUACUCAACUAAAAAUUCGAUCAAAGUUAAGAUAUUUUCAUAGAUUUUAUCCCUAAAAUAUAUAUAAACAAAGUAUAUAAAUAUGGAUGUAAAGACAAAAUUGAAAAAGAAAAUUGUUCUAAGAAAAGACUACAUAAUAUUUUAGUGUAAAAGUAUGAAUUAUUUAAUUAAAUAUCUAAAUCAAUUUUAAUACAAAUAUUAACGACCUAAAAUUGCUUAACGCGUGGUGAGGAUUGCGUAAAUAAAGAAUAUACCGCCCAACACCCCAAAAUAAAGAUUUCACUAUAAUUAAUAUUUGUACAAGUGUAAAAGUAUAAAAAAACAAACAUAAAAAUUAAAGCCUUCUUUAAAUGUCAUUCCCGAUGAGUAUUCCCAAUAACCUAUAUAAACACUUGUAAAUAAAAUGUUAGUAACAAAUAAAUAAUUAUCAAAAUAAAUUAAAAAGAUAUGUUUGCAUAUAUAAAUAUAAAAUAUAAUUUCUUGUUGAAAGGGAGGGCUCGGAUAUGAUUUUAGGUACGCUAUGGCUACGAAGUGGUUGCUCAAUUUAUUAGCCGUCCUAAAUCGUCUUGCUAAGAUACGAAUCAUAAAACUUUUGCGUUAUUAUAAAAAUUUCGUCAUCGCCCAAAAUUUAUUUAUUUUUAUUACGUAUUUAUAUACGUAAUAUACGUCUUUUUAUUUAGACUCGAAAAUCGACGGAAAAUUUCUUCAUCGAUCAUGUGUCUAUUUUUUAUAUAAAAUAAAUAACGUCAAAAUUAGAGAUCCGGCUUUUGUAUUGGGUGGCCUCACAUAUCCGAUGGAAUGAUAAUUUCAUUGGCCAAUUAUAUUAUCAGUGUAAUAAAAUGCGGAGAAAAAGAUUCAAGAUCAGCCUCAGACAGUGCAAAACAAUAGCAAACCAAUGGAAAUACAAUAAACCAUGAAUCAAGAACCAAGUCACUGGAGUAGAUUUUUUCUAGUCAACGAUCAAUAUGAAAUUAACAAGAUAAUGUAAAAAAGCAAUUUAAGAGUAACAAAAAGUCAACAAUAAUCCAUCGAAAAAUAUCAAAUAAUUGCAAAGGAGAUCCGGAAGCUUGCUUCCACGGCAAGAUUUGCUGGAGCAACACUUCAACGGUAAUGCUAGAUAUAGCCAGAUCUGUGUGAAUCAAAUGGGUAACAUGUGAAAUCAGUUCAAAGCAGUGGUGACCAUUCAUACCCAAAACAACAAAUAAAAAAAAUAGAGGGGUAAGGGGGAGGGAAAUACGGCGGCGGUGGGGUUGGAGGAUUGCCAGUAUCACCUCCGGCGAGCCAGCGAUAGAGCUGCGAAAAAAUAGGGCGGCUGAACUGGUUUAUUCGGCUAGAUCCCGAUGUUUGUGGGUUGUUGGGUGAUGGAAAAGGGGAGAUCGAGAGGGAGAAGGGAGAUGUGGUGGUGGUGGUCGCCGGCAGAAAGUUCGCGAGUGUAGACAAUGAAAAUGGAAAGGAUAGAAAGAAAGAGAGGUGAAGAAAGAGGCUGCUGAUGGGACAUAUGUGUGGUGUGCGUAUUUUGGCCUUUUUAAUUAAUUUCUAAAGGCCCCUUUUGUUCCCCUAACGCACAUUAAACCACGGGUUAUUGUCGAUGGAUUUUUUUAAUCUUGCCAACCAAUAUGUAAAAAGUUAAUCCAAUGGUUAAAAGUUUCAACCCGUCGUCUCAAAUGUCAUCUUUUAAAAAGUUGACAUGAUCUUGACUGAUUGAUUUAUUGCUUUGUGUAUUAAAAUAAUUAAACCGACAUACAUGUGCAAAUCGUAUUAAAUAACGUACAAAAUAAUGAAUGCCGAUAUAUAAUUAUAGAAAAAUAUAAACGACAAAUAAAAAAUAUAACUAUCUUGAAAAAGUAUAUAAUACUAUAAAUAAUUAAAAUUAUACUGUGUAGUAAAAAAUUACAAUGUUGUGUUGUGUACAUAUGCAAAUGACUGUGCAAAAAUAUUAAAAUAAUAAUAAACUGAUAAAAAUUUUAAAAUUUACGAAAUUAAAAAUAAUUAUCAUUAAAUUAUGUAAAAAUUAAAAUAUGACAAAAAUUGAUGAAAAAUCAUAAAAUAAUGACGAUGAUCAAUAAAUUAUUAAAAAUUAGAAAAAAAAUGUGCGAAAGUUUAUAUUUUGUGUCAUUUAACGAUCAAGAAGUCUAAAUGCGUUAAUUUCACGUUUGGAGAGUUAAAAUUAGGUGUCAACAGCCGUCAAUUGAGAAAUUCCUGCAUAUUUUUUUUUAGUUUCUUUAGGGGUACUUUUUUCUAUUCCUAACCUCAAACCCUACCCCACGACUUAAAUCACUCUAUAAGUAUUAUUUACUUGUCAUUUAUCAAUUUUUAAAUGCUCAAUCUCCUCUCCACUCCUAAGUGAAAAGAAGUUAGGGUUUCUCCCAAAACUCAUACUUUCAAGGCUCAGAUUUAAGUUGCCUCAAAUUUUAUUCAUAAAAAAAAGUAUGUAGAACGAUCCUUAUACUCAUGGGCUUAACUAUGAUGUUUCCAUAAACUUUAAAAUUUUAUUUGGAGAAAAGACAUAAAGUCACCCCUCAAUUUGUCCAACUUUUUUAGAAAAGAUAUCUAAACUAUACGGACGACCUAUUACCCCACGAAAAUUACAUAUACCGUUUGUAAAUAGGUCAUUUUGACCAAAAUUUUGCCUAUGCAUGUAAACGCGUGUGAUUGAAAAAAUUAUUGAACCAGCAAAUUAAAAAAUACGACGUGUAAUAAAAAGGUUCCAUUUUUUUAUUUUGUAUUUUAGUAUUUUUUUUUCUUCCUUUUCUAUUAUUUUCUUUUGUUUCUUCCUUCUUCCACAAAAGAAUAUCCCCAAAACAGCCUUAAAAUGGUAAAACAACAACUCCAAAAUAACUCAAAACCACAUAUGUGUUCCCAUCUGUUGCUAUUUCAUCAAUCACCUCACUUGUAUAAGAAAAUGUAUUUGUGCCAAAUCAUUUUUUAAGGUCAUAUUUGACUCCAUUUUUACACACAAUUCAAAAGAUCUAUUAUUACUAAAUCCUUCUGUUUACAUUUAGAAUAUUCCCAUAGAUUCCAAAUUUAUUUUAAAGAAGUGUCAUUAACUAAUGAAGUAAAAGGAAGCUUUUUCAAUUGAAUUUUAAAUAAUAUCAAGGAGGUCUUGAUACCAUCCCUCAAUUUAGAGAGAUGAAGGUGAGCCUCAUAAAUUUUUUGAUUUUUUGAGUUUGCUGAUAGCUGCAUCGUAAUAUCCAAUAUCACUAUUACUAUAGUUUCCGUCACAAUUAACUUUAAAAUUGUUGUUUCUUCCACUGAUUCCAAAAGAGAAGAACAAGAAUGUGUGUGGAGUUUGGGGUGGGAGCAUUGACUGACGUGGAGGGAAGGGAUUGGGUAAGAGGUCAAGAGGAAAAACAGUUAAAAAGAAUAAGAGAGAGAAAAAAAUAAAAGAGAAAAACAAAAAAUAUAUUUAAAAAUAAAUUAGUACAUGUCAAUCUGUGAUUGGUGUGCGUUUAGCACCUAUUUUUAAAAAGCUGGGAUUGAUUUAAAAAAGAUGUAUUAAUAUCAUUUUAAAAUUAUUUAGGGGGAUAAUAGGUCGCCCGCAAAGUUAAAGUUUCUUUUUGAAAAUCUCGGACAAGUUUGAUGAUUUCUUUAUGUCUUUUCUCUUGUAUUUAUAUACAUAUGUUAUGAAUUUUAAAAUUGUUGAAGUGUAUGAAUUAUGAUCUCCUUUUUACGAUAAAAAUAUGCAUUUAACUAGUGUUGUGGAAUAUUUUAUUGAAUGAUGAAAAGGUUGAGUUUUAAAUAUGUGGAUUCAAAGGGUGUUUCUUGUAUUUUUAAAUGCUCUUGUUUUCUCAAGGAGAGUAUAUGAAAUUAUGAAAAGUGACUACCUUUAUGAGUUUUAUAAAUAUCUUUAAAAAAUGUGGUUUGGCCUAAACUUGUUCAUGGAUUUUUGUAAGAGAAUUUUUAUGUGAUAUUUGAAGUAUUAUGGUGGUCAAUGAUAUAUGUUUCGAAAGAAGGGCUAUGGGGAUGAUAUGAUUUUAUACGACUUUCAAGUCUAGAUAUGACGAUACCUUUUACGGGAUGCUCUUGAAAGAAUAAGAGAUGAACUUUUAUAAGAAUGAAGCAUGAUUUUAAGAGGCUAAAAAUGGGCUUUAAGAGAGUUAGAUGGUUAACCAAGAAGAUAUGAGUUGAUAGGAUUACAACCCAAAACUGUGUUCUGCUGACGCGUGGAUUGAUUCGGUCCUGAAAUACGGAUGGUCAAUGUAUACUUGCCUUAGGCGCUGGUAUACUAAAAUAGAAGGUAGAGAAUCCAAUCCUUGCAAAAAACUUGGAUUUGGGGGCUUGGUUGAUGAGUUAAAGUCGAACCAUAUACCCCGAGGAUAGUAAAAAGGUUCGGAAUACCAUCUAGCUCAGAAUUUAAAAAAAAUUGAGUCUAUCUUUUUACGAGAUCGAUUGAAGCUUUUAAAUUAUGCCCAUGUACUUUUAUUUCUAUUUUUGUUAAACUAUUUUAUAAUGCUCUUGUUUAUAUUGUAUAUAAUAUAUGUUGUUUUUGGGGUAAUCGACAUGCCAAUACAUUUCAAGUAUUGACCGUCUUCGUACGGCUACAUCAUCUCAUAUUGAAGGUUCUGUGGCUCAAUCAUGUGGUCCAUCAUAGUAGUAGAACCAUUUGAAGCAUCAGAGUUGGCAAGUCACCAUCUUCAAAAAGGAAUUUUAUUCAUAUGUUCAUUUCUUUUAGUUUAUGAUCAGACUAGUGGCCGCCUUGUCCCGACCUAGAUAGUUAUUCUUCAGUCGAGGCUUCGUAGACUAGAUUUGGUUAACCUUUUUGUUAUGACUCUAUUGAUGGAGUUAUCUUAUAAGAUAUCUUGAACUUCAUUAUAUCUUCCGUAUUUUGCAUAAAUUAUGCUUAUGGUAGUAUGCUAUGAUGUCUCUCGGGACUUCAUGGUUCGGAAUGCCCAUCGCGGCUAGGGCUAGGACUCAAAUCUUGACAUACUUGGUAUUUAAGAACAGUUCAGAAUUCUAGGGUAUCCACGAAGCCGUGUCGAUUAGAGUCCCUUUUAUGGGUCUGUAACACGCCACACUUAUUAGAGGGAGGAUACGAGGCAUUUAGGAAAUUUUUCUCAUUCUUUCAUUCUCAAGAUCGUGUAAUAGUGUUGUCCAUAUGAAAAUUAUCCAAAUUUCCUCCUUGCUCUAAUUUUUUGGGUUGUACCUCAUUGUCGAGGCGAUACAAGUGCAAAAACUUAGAUUCCUAAGGAUGUGAUCCCUUCCACUGAGUCACCAAAAAGUUAGGAAACCGCACGAGUACUUGAAAGGAGUUCGUUAGUGCAUCAAAGUUUAUGGAUUCAAGGUAUACCUCUAUCUUUAUGAAUCGUGUGUUUCAGCUUGAGUUAAGAUGCGUAUUUAAUCCCUUUCAAAAACUUUAUUGCAGAUGUCUCACUUAAGGAGAAAGAUAUGUAUCUAAAUGUUGGGAUAGUAUUUACAACCAAGAGGUAUUAUAAAUUGGGGUAUUAUGACUUAUGAAUAGUAAAAUGGUCUCAAGGCAAGUGAUACGAAGUCAUACAUUUAGAUGUCAGAAUGAGGGUAACUUUUGAGUGAAAAAGGUAGUUAUACUCGUGUAACCAUUAAGUAAGUGUUGGGGGUGAUAUGUUCUUAUGGUGAUUGGCUAUGAUUGUAGAAAGAAUUGCAGAUUUUAUGGUAGUUAGUAGAGGAAGUGAUUAGUUAUGAUGAUUUAGAAUUUAUUUGAAAUAAGAAAGGAGCUCCUGUUGGAAGUUAUUGUAGUAGUAAAAAACUAAUCAUAGGUUUUGAAUGAAAGAAUAGGCCAACUAAUAAUUUAUCAAUUUAGACUUUAAUUAGGGAAAUCUUAAGGAAAGGGGGACUCAGUGAUGCAUAGAAUUUUGAAGAUAUUUUAAAGGUAUGCCUGGAUAAGUAGAUGUGAUGUGAGGAAGGAGACUGUGAUACUAGAUCGUAAUGGGUUAUGUUAAGAUUAAGUCCGACUAUCCUGAUUAUGUGGUCUUAUUACACUAAGAGUCUCUAAUUUUUUUUAUCUCGCAGUUGUAAGCUAGUCUAGUAGGUGAAAAGAUGUGUUGUAAAUUUUAAGGUACAGUAUCAGUGUUGUAAAGAAGAUGUGUUUGUAGGUCGUAUUUAAGUGAAAUAAGAAAUUCAGAUUGAUCAAUUUGUCAUAAAUUUUGAUGGACUAGUACAAUAUGUAGGAUAUUUCAUUGGCAAUUCAUGAUUGUUAAUAGAUGCUAAGCUUGAACUUUAGAUGUUGAUUGUGGUAAUAAGAAUGUUAACUUAAGAAUAGUAAUGUGGAUUUACGGGAGUAAAGUAGUGCUUGAUUUGUUGUGUGAAAGAGCUUAGGUUGAUAACUUAUAAAAAAAUUUGAGUUGGUAAUUAUGUUAUAUAUACAUGAGGACUAGUGUUGAAACAAUGAAUUGUGCUGAGUAUGUCCAUAAGUCUAGGGUAGUGGCCUUUGAGAUAAGGGGGAGAUUAUGAACCUAUGAACCUAUGCUAGCUUAUGAUUAGGCCUGAAUGACCCUCUACUUAUGAUUUAGGUGUUUACUAUGAAGUAUUUUGUGGCUAGUGUACCAUAUCUCACUUCGCAUGUCUCACCUUGAGUAGUACGAUAAAUAAGAGUCAUAAUUGAGCAGUAUCACCCUCAUUCCUAAUUCUUGUACUCUAUUUUCUCACUGGACCUACUUAUGUUAGGAUGAUAGUGGUUAUGAAAGCAUAGUAAUAUUUUAGAUAAGAGAGUAGAUAUUCUUUAAUGUGACUACUCGGGCUAAGGCUAUAGAUAAAAAAUGAAAGAGUGAGAUGAACUUUUGUUAUAUGAAAUAGUUAGGAAGGGGAGACGUGAAAAUCUUUGUGAUUAUGAUUGAAGUUGCUGAUUUUUGGUGGAGAGAUUCAUAAAGUUGGCGUGGUAAAGAUAUGUUUGAAUGUUGUGACUGAUAGAUACAUAAAAUGUUAUGUUAUGUGGCUAGUAUUCCUUGAUUAAGACAUGAGGGUGUUUGAUUAUUGUGAAAAGAUGGUAGUAUUUUGGGAGGAGUGUGGAGUAUAUAUAAGGUCCCAUAGCUAAGCUAAGACCUUUUAACUCCGAAUUAGGUUUCAAAAUUGGAGAAAUAUGCAGUUAGACUCAUGCUCUUGUAGUUACGUGUUUCACAAAGAAAUUAUUAGAUAGAAAUGCUGAAGUGUGGUUUUCAUAGAUGAAAGCAUUGUUGAGAAGCGUCACUAAAUUUAAGGGCUAUUACAUAUCAUUUGAGGUGGAGAAUGCUUCUAUGCUUAAGUCCCCCAAAAAUUUUAUUUCAUGUCAAGCAUCAAUAUAAAUCAGGACCUAUGAUUACAAAAUCAGUUUAUGCCUUACGUUAUUAUGAUCAUGUUCUAUAGAGCUCAUGUCCAAGCUCAUCUAUGUGCCAAGUCUCGUUAACUCGUGAUUAGUGCUUACACAGUUUACUUGGUAUUUGUUAUGAAGCUCUUUUUGAUGCCUGUGUAUGUCUUGUUGAUGGAGAAUUCCUAAUUUGAAGUUACAUCUUUUAUUCCAUACUUCUAGAGCCUUAAUAAGUUCUUAUCCAUCAUUCAAGGAUGAAAGAUCCCAAGUGGGAGAUAAUGUAACACCCCACAUUUUUGGGCUAAAAUUCGAGCUAUCAUUUUAUGUGUAUAGAUUCGAAAACAAUGAUGUUUAUGUAAAUAUAAGUGUGAUUAUCAAUUCUAUAGUGUGGUAACAUCUUUGGAGAUGAAAUAAGGUCAUAAAAAUCUCAUAACUCAAAGUUGAGUUGAAAAAUUUUAUGCCGAUUUUUAGUAGACAUUCCUACAUUGGUCAAUUUUCAAUCGCCAUUACUCCUAGAAUAAAAUUAUUUAGGUGGACUACUAUAUACUAAAUGAAGGAUCUUCGAGUCUUCUUUCCAAUGCAUCUGAUUUCAUCUUAAUUUAAUAUUGGAGUACAAAGUUAUGCUUAUUUUCCCUGUGAAUGUAUGUCUGCCAAAGAUUGACAAUGGGAAUUGAUGAGCCGUUAGCUAUUUGAUGGGAUGUCAACUGAAGUCGUCAAUCUUAGGUAGUAAAGCUCAAAAUCUGCUAGAAGUUGAUGAUGAGAGUUGACGAGCUGUCAACUAGUUGACUGGCUAUCAACUGGAGUCAUCACCCUUAACCAGUAAAGACCAAAGAUGGCUAGAGAUUGACGACAUAAGUUGACAAGCCGUCAAUUAGUUUACGGGCAAUUAACUGAAGUCGUCAACUGAGAAAUUCUUAUGAUUCUUUUUACUUUCUUUAGGAUUAUUUUGAUUUUUCUCACCUCAAACCCUACCCCACGACUUAAAUCACCCUGUAAGCAUUAUUUACUCAUCGGUUAUCAAUUUUUCAAUGCUCAUUCUCCUCUCCACCUCAAGAGAAAAUUAAAGAAUUUAGGGUUUCUCCCCAAAACUCAUACUUUCAAGGCUCAGAUUCAAGCUGUCUCAAAUUUUAUUCGCAAAAAAGGUAUAUAGAACGAUCCUUACACUCAUGGGCUUAACUAUGAUGUUUCCACAAACUUUAAAAUUGUAUUUAUAUAAAUAUGUUAUGCAUUUUAAAAUUGUUGAAGAGUAUAAUUAUGAACCUCUUUUUAUGAUGAAAAUUAUCAUUUAACUAGUGUUGUGGAAUAUUUAUUGAAUGAUGAAAAAGUUGAGUUUUAAAUGCGUCUUUAACAAAUUAUGUAUAGUUUAUUUAUGUGGAUUCAAAGGGUGUUUCUUGUAUUUUUAAGUGCUCUUAUUUUUUCAAGGAAAGUGUAUGAAAUUAUGAAAAGAUGACCACCUUUACCAGUUAUAAAGAUGUCUUUAAAGAGUGAUUUUACCUAAACCUGCUCAUGAAUUUUUUAAAGAGCAUUCGUAUGUGAUAUUUGAAUUAUUAUGGUAGUCAGUAAUAUAUGUUUCGAAAGAAGGGCUAUGGGGAUGCUAUGAUUUUAUAUGGCUUGCAAGUUUAGGUGUGACGAUACCUUUUACGGAAUGUCCUUGAAAGAAUAAGAGAUGAACUUUAAUAAGAAUGAAGCAUGAUUCUAAGAUGCUAAAAAUAGGCUUUAAAAGAGUUAGAUGGUUAAUCGAAAAGACGUAAGUAGAUAAGCUUAUAGUCCGAAAUCGUGUUCUGUCGAUGUGAGAAUUAAUUCAGUUCGAAAUAUGGAUGGUCAAUGUAUACUUACCUCAGGCACUGGUACACUAGAAUAGAAUGUAGAAACUCCAAUCCUUGCGGCAAAUUAGAUUUGGGGGCUUGGCCGACAAGUUUAAUUGAAGAAAAGAGUUGAGUCUAUAUUUUUAAGAGAUUGAUUGAAGAUUUUAAAUCAUGCCCAUGUAUUUUGAUUUCUAUUUUUGUUAAAUUAUUUUCAUAAUGCUUUUGUUUAUUGUAUAAAAUAUAUGUUGUUUUUGGGUUGUUCUACAUGUCAAUAUAUUUCAAGUAUUGUCCGUCCUUGUACGACUAUAUCGUCUCAUAAUGUAGGUUAUGAGGCUCAAUCUCGUGGUCCAUCACAAUAUUAGAACCUUUCAAAGCAUCAGAGUUGUUUAGCUUCCAUCUUCCUUAAGGUAUUUUAUUCAUAUGUUCAUUUCUUUCAGUUUAUGAUCCGACGGGAGCCUUGUCCUGACCUAGACAGUUAUUCUUCAGUAGAGGCUUCGUAGACUAGAUUUGUUUAACGUUUUUGUUAUGACUUUAUUGAUGGAUUUUUCUAAUAAGAUAUCUUGAACUUCAUUACAUCUUCUGCAUUUCAUAUGAAUUGUGCUUAUGAUACUAUGUUAAGGGGUUUCUCAAACCUUUGGGGUUCGAAAUACCCAUCACGACUAGGACUGCCACUCGAAUAGUGACAUCUAACUUAACUAAUUUUGAAAGAAUCCAAUAUUGAUUCAUUAUAUUUCUAGUGACAUCUAACUUAACUAAUUUUGAAAGAAUCCAAUAUUGAUUCAUUAUAUUUCUUGUCUAUCACAUUUAGAGGAGGAGUUCUCAAUAUAAAACAAACAAUGAAAAAAUCACACAAGUAUAAAAUUUAAUAGCCAAUAUUACAAAACAUACCAACAUUAUUUUUUAUUUAUAAAAUAUAAUUUUUAUUUACAAAAUCUAUCAAACUAUUUUUCUGACCCCUUUGUUACAUUCUUCUCUCUUACAAAAAAAAAAAAAAAAAAAAAUACUUCCUUUCCUUUCUCCUCAAAUACCCAAAACCUAAUCCGAAAUUCCAAAUCCAAAUUAAACGUCACUACAUUUACAAAAAAAUUAGUACAUCAGAUAAACUUAACAGUUUAUCAUGGAAGCAGCCACCCUUUAAUGCGAAAAAACUUUAGGCAACAUCAUGGACUUCAGUUUCGGACGAUGUUGGCACUGGCAUUGCCGACUCAGUUACCAAAUCAUUCAUAUCAUUUUAUAGAGUUUAAAAUAUAUAGAAAUAGGUGUAUGAAUAAUUUUAUAGUGUCCGAAAUAUAUAGAAAUUGGUGUAACUGUAUAUUCUGUCUAGAUGUUAACGUUAAAUAAAACGCUAAAUAAUUUGUUAUAACAUGUUAAAUUACUAAUUGCAUUAAAAAAAAAAAAGUAAAAGAGUAUUACGCUACCACUAUUACGUAAACCCCCGUUCUAAUUAGGGUUUUAUCAUAUAUUCACUAAAAAAAAUUAAAAGGUUAUAUUUAUUGGUGUCUUUUUACAUAUUUUGGAGUGUGUAUGUUAAUUUUAUUGCAAUAAUUUUAAUUUUUUUCCCAAAAUAAUUUUAUUAAUAUAUUAGGUGAAACCAUUGAUAGAUUUUGUAAUAUUGACUCUUACAUUGUAUAUUUAUGUGAUUUGCCCAUAAACAAUUAUGAGUGGCUAGGGUUUUGAAGAGUUUAAAUAAGAUAGCAGAUUAUAACACAAACUACUUAAUUAUUCCAUUUUUAUGUCUAUAAUAACUAGAUAGCCCGUGCCAUAUUGUUUGUUAUUUGUUUAUUCGCAAUAUUAUCGUACAAAAGAAAUUUAACUUUCAGGAAGGUAACUUCUUAUUUGUUUAAUUGUUUUGAAGAGCUUUCUUGUUGUACAAAUCAAGAAAGCUUUGUACCAUUUUAAUGUUGAUUUUCUGUGACUUGUAAUAAAUACAUAUUCCUUCAAAAAUUUACUAUUAAAGUAUUUAAAUAACAAUAAGACUAAUUGGGUAAUCCAUAUGUAAUAAACCUCAGCCUCAAAAGGUUUGAACUAAUACAUAAACCUACAUAUUCCUUCCUAGAAGAAAAAAAAAUUAUGAUUAAUAUCAACUAAAAUUUAGGACCUUCUUACUUUUAAUUCCUCCUUUCUUCCUAGACAUAUAAGAUUUUGACCAAAGAUGUGCAUAUCUUUUAACCUAGAUUCACCAUGACCAAGAACCUCCAAUGAAUUCAUUCGUGCAUCAGGAGCAUAAUCAUAGUCUCCAUCAUCAUCACCACCACCUCUCUCUACGUAUGCUGCUGGAGCUUAGUCGUAAUGUGGACUUGUUUAGACACGUUUGAAAGUAUGUUCUGUUACAAGAAGAAUGUGCACAACCAUAUGCUGGGCUGCCACAUCAAAAAUUCACUUUAAAUGUAAUCAUAUUAUUCUUUGUAUAGCCUGGUAGAUCUAGAAUCAUAUGAACAUGACUUAAGUUGUUUAGACUCUGCAAAAAUGAUACUGUAUUCAUGUCAAAUUCUCCAAAACUGUAUUAUUUUUAGAGAAUUAGACGCACAUCUAAUGAUACUUUUAAAGAAUCCAACCAACAUAGAACACAAUCUCUUCUUUUCAGAUCCAAU